This 60343-nucleotide long non-coding RNA is filed under the name Triticum aestivum (bread wheat). RNAcentral describes it as "long non-coding RNA (TAES_LNC026640)". Lineage: Eukaryota; Viridiplantae; Streptophyta; Magnoliopsida; Poales; Poaceae. The record is from RNAcentral.
CCACCAUCACCAUCAUCUAGCCCCACACCAAUAGCUCCUACCACACCUCCACCCUACCAACCUAGUGAUCAAUCUCCUCCACCGCCGUCAUCAUCUAGCCCACCUCCACCAACUCCAACCACCCCACAAAUACCUCCAUCUAGUCCUCCUAUUACACCUCCAACAUACGAACCUAAUGACCAAUCGCCACCACCUUCAUUGAAUCCUCCAUCCAUUCCUCCACCACCUCCUUGUAGCCCACCCGCAACACCUCCAAUGGAACCGACUAAUGAGCAGCCUCCUCCACCAUCGUCGUCAUUGAGCCCUCCACCAGUAGCUCCUGCUACGCCUCCACCCUACCAACCUAGCGAUCAAUCCUCUCCACCACCACCAUCAUCUAGCCCUCCUGUUACACCUCCAACAUACGAACCUAACGAUCAACCUCCACCGCCACCUUUAAAUCCUCCAUCCAUUCACCCACCGCCUCCAUCUAGCCCACCUGAAACAUCUCCAAUGGCCCCAAUUAGUGAGCAGCCUCCUCCAGCAUCACCCACAUUUAGCUCCCCACCACCAAUAGCUCCUACAACACCUCCCCCUUACCAACCUAUUGAUCAGUCCCCCCCACCACAAUCAUCAUCUAGCCCCCCACCACUAGCUCCACCCACCCCACAAACACCUCCNNNNNNNNNNNNNNNNNNNNNNNNNNNNNNNNNNNNNNNNNNNNNNNNNNNNNNNNNNNNNNNNNNNNNNNNNNNNNNNNNNNNNNNNNAAACACCUCCAUCUAGUCCCCUUGUUACACCUCCAACACAGGAACCUAACAAUCAACCGCCACCGCCUCCAUUUAAUUUUCCGUCCAUUUCCCCACCACCUCCAUCUAGCCCACUUGCAACAACUCCAAUGGCCCCAACUAAUGAGCAGCCUCCUCCACCAUCAUCGUCAUUUAGUCCCCCAUCAAUAGCUCCUACUACACCUCCACCAUACCAACCUAGUGAUCAAUCCCCUCCACCGCCGUCAUCAUCUAGUCCUCCACCACUAGCUCCAGCCACCCCACAAACCCCUCCAUCUAGUCCCCCUGCUACAUCUCCAACCUACGAGCCUACCGAUCAACCACCACCGCUACAUUGCCGUAAGCCCGGACGUGGUCCAAAUCCCCAUGGCGGUGAUGGUCAUAGUAAUAACGGUCGAGGACCACCAGAAAAGGAUUGCAGUGAAGCAGAGACAUCACCGCCAUCGCCCGAGCCAUCCCCAAACCAAGGUAAUGGUUCACCAUCACCACCGCCACCCCAGUCUUAUUAUCCACCCAUGGCUCCACCUCCAUUAGAUUCUAGUCCUCCUACACCACCACCACCGUACCAACCUAGUGAUCAAUCCCCUCCACCCCCGUCAUCCUCUAGCCCCCCACCACUAGCUCCAGCCACCCCACAAACACCUCCAUCCAGUCCCCCUGUUACACCUCCAACAUACGAACCUAACUAUCAACCGCCACCGCCUCCAUUGAAUCCUCCAUCCAUUAGCCCACCACCUCCGUCUAGCCCACCUACAACACCUCCAAUGGCCCCGACUAAUGAGCAACCUCCUCCACCAUCAUCGUCAUCUAGCCNNNNNNNNNNNNNNNNNNNNNNNNNNNNNNNNNNNNNNNNNNNNNNNNNNNNNNNNNNNNNNNNNNNNNNNNNNNNNNNNNNNNNNNNNNNNNNNNNNNNNNNNNNNNNNNNNNNNNNNNNNNNNNNNNNNNNNNNNNNNNNNNNNNNNNNNNNNNNNNNNNNNNNNNNNNNNNNNNNNNNNNNNNNNNNNNNNNNNNNNNNNNNNNNNNNNNNNNNNNNNNNNNNNNNNNNNNNNNNNNNNNNNNNNNNNNNNNNNNNNNNNNNNNNNNNNNNNNNNNNNNNNNNNNNNNNNNNNNNNNNNNNNNNNNNNNNNNNNNNNNNNNNNNNNNNNNNNNNNNNNNNNNNNNNNNNNNNNNNNNNNNNNNNNNNNNNNNNNNNNNNAUAGUGAUCAAUCCCCUCCACCACCGCCAUCAUCUAGCCCCCCACCACUAGCUCCAGCCACCCCACAAACACCUCCAUAUAGUUCCCCUGUUACACCUCCAAGUUACGAACCUAACUAUCAACCGCCACCGCCUCCAUUGAAUCCUCCAUCCGUUCCAACACCACCUCCAUCCAGCCUUCCCGCAACACCUCCAAUGUCCCCGACUAAUGAGCAACCUCCUCCACCAUCGCCAUCAUCACCAUUAAGUCCACCUGCCACACCUCCAAUGUACCAAGCUAACCAACCACCGCCGCCGGCACCGACACCACCACCACCUAGUCCUUCAGCAACAACGUCACCACCUGGUCCCCCUACUGGUACUAAUGGAUGGGUGCAAGUUCAUAACUUCCGUGACACUUUGUACUGGCAAAUCGCACGCUUUGCGGUAUUAAUGCACAAGUUGGUAUACAAGAAGGAGAUGACCCUUGUCGAUGUGUUGUAUGUGAGCAUGCAGCCUUCGGGAAUUGGCAACAACUACUUUCUUGAGAUAAAAGCUGCAGAUGAGAAUAAUAAGGUCGGCAGGUAUCAAGUGCUUGUAUGGGGUGUGCCUGGGUCAACAGCUCAGCCAUGGAAAGUACUGUCGUUUAAAUUUAUAGGAUACUAAGCACAUGGUGAAAAUAAGAAUCUAGCUAGUAGCCAUGUUUGGUAUUUCUAGGGAAAAGAUAUAUAGAAUUUUUGUGGUCAAUGUGCGCCUGCAUGUCUGCAGAUUAGUUAAUCUUUGUAGCACUUAGGGGCUUGAUAUACCAAUAUAUGAUUCUGAUUUCAACGACAAAUUUUUUCGUGUUCUUAUUCAAAAUUGCCUCAAAUUUAUAUAAUAUGGUUGGAGAUAUGAUCAUAUACCUAGAAGCGUAAGCACGCUUCGCUGCGCCAUUUGUUUGAUGGUUACCCUGUACCUGUUAAAGUUUUUUGCUUAUUUGUAGUUCACUAUUUGUUAGUUCUAAUAUUGCUACAAGUAGUACUAGUUGUUAACAUUAAUCGUGCCUGCAUGCUGGCAAGAAAUAUCCUAGGCAGUAAAGCUGCAUGGAUGCAGCUAUGAAGAGCAAAGAAGAAGGUGAAAAAUGCAUGUAGUAUGACGGUAUAGCGGGUCAAAAGAAUUUGACUAGUAGUCUUUGCUGAUAAGUAAGUGACUAGUUGCACAAAGAAUGAGCUGCAUGUAAGCUAGAUGCCAAAGUCAAUUUGGCUAGCCAAUAAGUAAGAGAACAUGAAUUCAAUAUCAGAAAGAAAACACACAUAAUUACUGACAGGUUGACUCAAGCAGGACCAAGUAUAUGCACAAAAUUAAGAGUGUCAAGAGGUUGCAUUUCCAUGACUUGUUUUAGAAAUGUAAGUGCAAGUGCCUAACUCGGUAGCGUUGAAACUUGUACUCGGUUACAUCAGCCUAGUCAUCCUAGACAUAAGUUUAGAACCAAAAAGGAGAGUUGAAUAAGUAAUCAGCAGCAGCACAUGGAAAAUGAUGGCUAUCACGCUUCAUAGUUAAGAAGCAACCGUUUUCAGUGUAAAUAAAAAAUAUUCGGCAAGAAAAUGAGACGUAAAAAGGAGUAUUGAAACUUCAAAAUUGAAAUCAUAGUGAUACGCCUUCUCAUCAGCCAAAAAAAACUAUGGCAAAUAACUUAGUCAGGUUCAACUACAGGGGAAAACCUAACAAACAGGAUAGCCAACAGAGGGCACCCCAACACCUGCCACACAAUCGAAAAGAAAAGCACCCACCAUAUUUAGCCAAAAGAAUACAUACAUGCUGCGCCCAAACAUUUAAUCUUGGAACAAUAAUCUUAUGAAAUACACAUGCAAGCAGUUUUUGUGUUCAUAAACUUGACAGAACCUGAACAAACAAAAUGAUCUAGGGGGACACAACACAAUAUGAUAUCAUCAUUUUUGUGUUGGCGUGAUCGUAUUAGAAGAAAAUAAUUCCACUCUUCAGCCGUCUUUCAGCCUUCUAGUCAAAUUAUAUUAUAUGGCAAAGAUUUAAAGCGAGUCUAAGGUACUAACAGCCUUUUGGCCUGAUGCUGAUCUUCGGUGUAGGCACACGUAUUGUAUUUGCAACUGUAAGUAAACAUGGGGAAGGGCAGGUGUUACCAAGAACACUUCCAGCAGCAGCUCUGAAAUCACCAGAAUUAAAUUAUGCCUCUUCCACAGGGUUAGAAAUAAGAGGAAAAGCUGACCAUGAGCAAGGCCUCACUACGAGGAUCUUACUUUCAGAUGGUAGGUAAGCAGAUGCAAAUGCAUAAUAUUCCCUCCUCAUGGUAAACAUACAACCUUCCAGGCAGGGGAAAAAGCUUGUUCAUUCACAACCUCUCAACUGGCAUCACCACAGCUUACCCUGUACAGAACAAGAGUAUUUUUUUAGAUGAUAGAAUAAGAGCAUUGGCAACCAGAUAUGUUUAUACUAGCUAUAACAGGGAUCAGUAUAUAUAGUUGUAGAGAACACUUUCUAUUUGGCCUUGUAGCAAUAUCUAGGGCUAGGCACGAGUAUUAAAUACGUACUUCACUUGGUCACGACGACUCCAAGAAGAUCAAGAGAGGUGAACAAGACGUGAGCCGACUUGUGAUCAGACUAUCUGACAUCAUAUAGCAAAAUCAAACACUGGAUCUAUUAUGGUCUCAAGAAAAUACAUGUCUUGCUUGCAGAAGAUGUAAUGCACUACCAGUUUUACCACCGAAAGAUGCAUGGUUUCAGCCAUGAAGAGUUGCCUCAGAUUCUUGCUUAGUGAGAUCAGAUGAAGGUUUUAGCUAGUGAUAUUCUAGAUGAUCCCUUGUCAAUAAUAGGUGGGUGCUGCAACCACAAUCAGUAAAAUAGUAAGCCUUAACAACUAACAAUGCUGAACAAUCAACACAAUCAAUGGGUAACAAGCUGCAAGACUUAUCAACAAAAAGCUAUAUCCCAAGAAAGGAAGAAAAUGAAUUAAAUGACUGUAUUGUUGCAUCGUGCAGAGAACAUAUUUAAACAGGCAUGGUAAGAAUGGCUAAGUAAAUAUAGGAGCAACAGCGUACAAUGGCUAAAACGGAUGUCCAGAAUAAAAUGGUCUACAUCUUCAUACUUAUUCACUUCAACCCACAAAAAGAGAUACAUAAAAAAAGGCCCUGCACAUAUAGAAGUGUAUAUUCGCUUAGACCUGAAAUUAACUAUUCGUUAAAAUCCUUACUGAACAAGUAUUCUGUACAAGUAAACUGAGAUGUCACUUCAGCGUCUUACUCUUCCCCAACAAACAACUUAACGACCAGCAGCUUGUAACAAAACCUUAAUUGUAUAUACAGAUAUGGUAGCAAGUUUUCACCAUCCUGCUUGGGUACUUCCAAUGGAUGACCAUUUCGAAUGUGCAAUGGGACCAAUUUAUAAGUUGCUGAAGUUCAACUCACAUUCUUCCCAACGCAAAAAUGAAAUACAUAUAACUAAAAAAGUGGCAUGGUGAUUGCAAAAUAGUCGACAAAGAAUACAAUCAGGAUAAAAUGAGCGUACCAUGUACACUAUUUGUUAUUAUCCUAAAAAAACUACUGUGUGUUAUUUGCCGGGGCCUUGACAUGCCCAUUUUUCACGCUAAUCAAACUCAGCCGCUUGACGAUUGCAAAAAAAAAAAAGAGUAGCGAGUCGAUGUAAAAGCAUGGGCAAAUUGGCGUGAAAGUAAAAUUGCACCUUUUGUAUGUGGUUUGUCUCGCUGAACCACAAUACCAUCAAUUAGCAUGACCAAGCGGAUUAGAAGGUGUAGCCUGGCAGUGCAUGGAGAGGGCUUGCCAUGGCGGUGCCAGCAGCGGCAUGGCGACUAGGCAGCCGAGAAGAGUUCCGGCAAGNNNNNNNNNNNNNNNNNNNNNNNNNNNNNNNNNNNNNNNNNNNNNNNNNNNNNNNNNNNNNNNNNNNNNNNNNNNNNNNNNNNNNNNNNNNNNNNNNNNNNNNNNNNNNNNNNNNNNNNNNNNNNNNNNNNNNNNNNNNNNNNNNNNNNNNNNNNNNNNNNNNNNNNNNNNNNNNNNNNNNNNNNNNNNNNNNNNNNNNNNNNNNNNNNNNNNNNNNNNNNNNNNNNNNNNNNNNNNNNNNNNNNNNNNNNNNNNNNNNNNNNNNNNNNNNNNNNNNNNNNNNNNNNNNNNNNNNNNNNNNNNNNNNNNNNNNNNNNNNNNNNNNNNNNNNNNNNNNNNNNNNNNNNNNNNNUGGACCGGAGUGACAUGCCGCGGCGAUUCGUCGAACAGGUGGUGCGCGUCCUGCGGGGGUGAGCGUCCCGGAGCGCGCGUGAGUGCUCCGUGGCGGCGGCGGAAGUGGCGUGGCGCUUCCAGCUGCGUGAGGGCGGUGAGAUGGAGGAUGAGCGGGAGGAGGCGGAGGAGCGGCGAGGGCGGGGGCGGAGGCGGUGGCGGACAUCGGCGUGGUGGAGGAGAGGCGAGACACUCGGCGAGUGCGAAGUCACUCCUACAUUUGAGUCUGCCUCUGUCCGGUAUAGUAGUCUGCCUCGUUCAUUUUGUCAAACUUUGACCGUAAAUUUCAAAAGUCAUUUUUUAAAACUUUUAUCAAAUUUAUUAUGAGAAAAUACUGACAUCUGUAAUAUCAUAAAAAUAUAAAAGGAUAUUUCAUGAUGAAUCUAAUGAUACUGAUAUUAAUGUUCAUAUAUUUCUCUAUAAAUUUGGUUAGUUUAAAGAAGUUUUACUUUUGAAAAAACCAAUACACCUUAUGCCUUAUACUACUUUGGAAGGAAGGGAGUAUUUAAUUGUACUAGUCAAAUUUAUACUCAAAUUUAAUCCAAAAUACAAGGGGGCUUAUAAACCUGAAUGGAAGGAGUACUUGCAUGAACGUAUCGUUUCUUUCUUCCCGAGGAAGAAAGUGAUCUCACCGCCGCCGCUAGAAGCGUUUUCUUCCGUUGUCGUCCUCCGGUGGUUCCUCUUCGCCGACGAUCUUGGUCAUCAGUGGUGAGGGGUGUGGGGGUUGCCAGAUUCACUAUUACUAGCUUAGGUUUUGGACUGUUCAUCGUCUUGGUUUCGGCGACGGCGAUGACAGCGUGGAAUAAAGAUUCUUCAUGUCCUACCCCGACAAGAUGGUCGGUCCUAUAGUUGGGGAUGGAUUUGAAAUCCAAUCUGUUCAAGCAAGGAUGGUGCGGCAGCGGCGACAUCCUUGUGGUGGACCUGUGUCCUCGGCCUCCGCCGUUGUGGCGGCGUCUGCUUCAGUAUGAGCACGGAGCUUGGGAGGUAGUCCAAAAACGGAUGCAGAUUAUGGUCUGCAUUGGCGGCAUCUAGAAAAUGGUGAUCAUGUGCUGAGUCUGUGGUGCGUGGAUGGUAGGUAUGUUCCUCCUCCGGUAUCUUAGUCAUGUGAGGGGUGCCAGAUCUGGAGUUCGAUGGCGUAUACGGGGCGUUGCCUUGGUCCGAUUCAUUCAACGGUAAUGGUUUCAUCUUUGGCGAGCCCCAGCAAAGUUGCAUAUCAGCGAUAGAGCCACGUCGAGCUCGGGUGUGGAGGUGAUCUGUCAUGUUUUCCUUUGGUGGCUAUGUACUGUGGUAGUUUCAGAGGUGAUGAUGGGUGUUGGUAUCAAGCUCAGAGGAUUCUUAUAAUUUUACUUCUUAGCUGAUAUUCCUUUGUGUAAAGGCUAGCGUUUUAUUGUCUUUUUAGAUUUAUCGGGUCGCUAUGUACAUGGCUUGUACUAUGAUGUUUAUAAUAUAAAUGAGACACAUAUUACCAUGAAAAAAAGAGUACUUGUAUGUCUGACUUGUGUCGAUUAUAUCCCCUCUAAUGAAAAAUAAAUAAACUACUCCAACUAGUGGUAACUGCUAGAGUCUUCGUGUAUCUACAUUUAUUUAAAGUGAAUUUUAUGUUCAAGUAUAUAUUUCAAAAUUACAUGAUUUGUGGUACUUUUGUUGAAAGGCACUAAAACAGAUUGUUGUUCCCUAUUCUCAAUUAGUUGAAGUUUUGAAAAGAAGCUAGAAUUUCUUUGACAAACUUUUGAAGUGUUUCUUGGCCUAUCGCAUUUUGGGCAUGCCUUUCGCGUUCGGUGGCUAUGGCUUUACCGUACCGACAAUUUGUGACCAUGGCAUAGUCUGCAACUCCAGCAUAAUAUCAAGGUCCGAGAGCUCUUCUAUUCGGCGACUAUCAGCUCUGUGGGUGUCGGUGCAUCGACAUUAUUCUGGGAGGAUGCUUGGAUCGAUGGCAAAGGCAUUCGUGAGUUUGUGCCGAUGACUUUGUUCCUCAACCUCCUCGAACCACACAGUCUCGCACUAUGCGCGAAGGCAUGUCCAAUCAUGCUUGGAUCCGAGACAUUCAAGGUGCCAUCAGUGCUCUCUGAGCAUUCAUGGUGCAAUAUAUUGGACCGUGUUUGGUCUGUAUUAUUCCUCGCAUUUGUGGCCUGAUUCAACCUCGCUGAGCUACUACAUGCUCAGUGUCAUGUUUUGCACUUAGCUUGGUUUCUCGUAAAACCCGAACCUGCAUUAGAGGCAAACCACUAGCACCGUGUUUAGUUGCAAGCAUCUAAUACCAGAUGCAACAUGAUGGUGGUCGGCUAUGUUAAGACAUGCGGUAUGGUAACCUCUUGUUCGACUGGUGAGGCUAUUGAUUUCUACUACACAACCUUCUUCUUGUAGACGUUGUUGGGCCUCCAAGUGCAGAGGUUUGUAGGACAAUAACAAAUUUUUCUUAAGUGCAUGACCUAAGGUUUAUCAAUCCGUAGGAGGCGUAGGAUGAAGAUGGUCUCUCUCGAGCAACCCUACAACCAAACAACAAAGAGUCUCUUGUGUCCCCAACACACCCAAUACAAUGGUAAAUUGUAUAGGUGCGCUAGUUCGGCGAAGAGAUGGUGAUACAAGUGGUAUAUGGAUGGUAGAUAAUAAUUUUUUUAAUCUGAAAAUAUAAAAACAGCAAGGUAACUAAUGAUAAAAGUGAGUGUAAACGGUAUUGCAAUGUGUGGAAACAAGGCCUAGGGUUCAUAUUUUCACUAGUGUAAGUCCCCUCAAUAAUACUAACAUAAUUGGAUCACAUAACUAUCCCUCAACAUGCAACAAAGAGUCACUCCAAAGUCACUAAUAGCGGAGAACGAACGAAGAGAUUAUGAUAGGGUACGAAACCACCUCAAAGUUAUUCUUUCCAAUCAAUCCAUUGGGCUAUUCCUAUAAGUGUCACAAAUAGCCCUAGAGUUCGUACUAGAAUAACACCUUAAGAUACAAAUCAACCAAAACCCUAAUGUCACCUAGAUACUCCAAUGUCACCUCAAGUAUCCGUGGGCAUGAUUAUACGAUAUGCAUCACACAAUCUCAGAUUCAUCUAUUCAACCAACACAAAGGACCUCAAAGAGUGCCUCAAAGUUCUACCGGAGAAUCACGACGAAAAUGUGUGCCAACCCCUAUGCAUAGGCUCCCAUUGUCAAAAAACCCGCAAGUUGGUCACCAAAACAUACAUCAAGUGGCACGUGAUAUCCCAUUGUCACCACAAAUAUUCACGGCAAGACAUAUAUCAAGUGUUCCCAAGUCUUUAAAGACUCAAUCCGAUAAGAAUACUUCAAAGAGGAAACUCAAUUCAUUACAAGAGAUAAGAGGGGGGGGGGAGAAACAUAAGAUCCAACUAUAAUAGCAAAGCUCGCGAUACAUCAAGAUCGUAUCAUCUCAAGAACACGAGAGAGAGAGAGAGAUCAAACACAUAGCUACGGGUACAUACCCUCAGCCCCGAGGGAGAACUACUCCCUCCUCGUCAUGGAGAGCGCCGGGAUGAUGAAGAUGGACACCGGUGAGGGUUCCCCCCUCCGGUAGGGUGCCGGAACAGGGUCCCGAUUGACUUUUGGUGGCUACAGAGGCUUCUGGCGGCGGAACUCCUGAUCUAUUGUCCGUUCUGGAAGUUUUAGGUCACGUAGGUAUAUAUGGGUGCAGGAGGUACGUCAGGGGAGCCACGAGGGCCCCACGAGACAGGGGGGCGCGCCCUAGGGGGGGCGCCCCCCACCCUCGUGAGCACCUCAUUUCUUCCUUGACGUGGGGUCCAAGUCCAUCAGGUGUGUUUCCUUCCAAAAAUAACUUCUCUAGUUAAUUUCUUUCCAUUUUGACUCCGUCUGAUAUUCCUUUUCUUCAAAACACUGGAAUAGGCAUAAAACAAAAAAUCUGGGUUGGGCCUCCGGUUAAUAGGUUAGUCCCAAAAAUAAUAUAAAAGUGGAUAAUAAAGCCCAAUAUUGCUUAAAACAGUAGAUAAUAUAGCAUGGAGCAAUCAAAAAUUAUAGAUACGUUGGAGACGUAUCAAGCAUCCCCAAGCUUAAUUCCUGCCCGUCCUCGAGUAGGUAAAUGAUAAAAAGAUAAUUUUUGAUGUGGAAUGCUAGUUGGCAUAAUUUCAAUGUAAUUCUUCUUACUUGUGAUAUGAAUAUUCAGAUUCGAGAGAUUCAAGACAAAAGUUCACAUUGACAUAAAAAUAAUAAUACUUCAAGCAUACUAACUAAGCAAUUAUGUCUUCUCAAAAUAACAUGGCCAAAGAAAGUUAUCCCUACAAAAUCAUAUAGUCUGGCUAUGCUCCAUCUUCACCACACAACAUAUUUAAAUCAUGCACAACCCCGAUGACAAGCCAAGCAAUUGUUUCAUACUUUUGAUGUUCUCAAACUUUUUCAAUCUUCACACAAUACAUGAGCGUGAGCCAUGGACAUAGCACUAUAGGUGGAAUAGAAUGGUGGUUGUGGAGAAGACAAAAAGGGAGAAGAUAGUCUCACAUCAACUAGGCAUAUCAAUGGGCUAUGGAGAUGCCCAUCAAUAGAUAUCAAUGUGAGUGAGUAGGGAUUGCCAUGCAACGGAUGCACUUAGAGCUAUAAAUGUAUGAAAGCUCAACAAAAGAAACUAGUGGUGUGCAUCCAACUUGCUUGCUCACGAAGACCUAGGGCAUUUGAUGAGGCCCAUCAUUGGAAUAUACAAGCCAAGUUCUAUAAUGUAAAAUUCCCACCAGUAUAUGAAAGUGAUAACAUGAGAGACUCUCUACUAUGAAGAUCAUGGUGCUACUUUGAAGCACAAGUGUGGUAAAAGGAUAGUAGCAUUGCCUCUUUUAUUUAUUUUCUUUUUUAUUUGGCCUUUCUUUUUUUAUUUGGCCUUUCUUUUUUUGGCCUUUCUCUUUUUUUAUUGGGACAAUGCUCUAUUGAAUGAUGAUCAUCACACUUCUAUUUAUUUACAACUCGAUGAUACAACUCGAUACUAGAACAAAGAUGACUCUAUAUGAAUGCCUCCGGCGGUGUACCUGUUGGGGAACGUAGCAGAAUUUUAAAAUUUUCUACGCAUCACCAAGAUCAAUCUAUGGAGUCAUCUAGCAACGAGGGAGAGAGGAGUGCAUCUACAUACCCUUGUAGAUCGCGCGCGGAAGCCUUCAAGAGAACGGGGUUGAUGGAGUCGUACUCGUCGUGAUCCAAAUCACCGAUGACCUAGCGCCGACGGACGGCACCUCCGCGUUCAACACACGUACGGUUGGGAAGACGUCUCCUCCAACUUGAUCCAGCAAGGGUGAAGGAGAGGUUGAUGAAGAUCCAGCAGCACGACGACGUGGUGGUGGAAGCAACGGUGAUCUCGGCAGGGCUUCGCCAAGCUCAGGGAGAGGGAGGAGUGUCACAAGAGGGAGAGGGAGGCGCCAGGUGUUGGGGAACGUUGCAGAAAACAAAAAAUUUCCUACUCGUUUCACCAAGAUCAUCUAGGAGUUCAUCUAGCAACGAGUGAUUAGAUGCAUCUACAUACCUUUGUAGAUCGCGCACGGAAGCGUUCAAAAGAAUGGUGAUGAUGUAGUCGUACUCGACGUGAUCCAAAUCACCGAUGACCAGCGCCGAACGGACGGCACCUCCGCGUUCAACACACGUACGGGACGGGAGACGUCUCCUCCUUCUUGAUCCAGCAAGGGGGAAGGAGAGGUUGAUGAAGAUCCAGCAGCACGACGGCGUGGUGGUGGAUGCAGGGCAUCACAGCAGCAGGGCUUCGCCGAGACUACGAGGGAGAGACGUAACGGGGGGAGAUGGAGGCGCCAGGGGCUGGUGUGUAAUCCCUCCUCUCCCCCCACUAUAUAUAGGGGUGCCAGGGGGGCGCCGGCCCUAGUAGAUGAGAUCUACUAGGGGGGGCGGCGGCCAAGGGGAGGUUUCCCUCCCCCCCAAGGCACCUAGGGGUGCCUUCCACCACAUGGACUCUUCCAUGGUGGAAACCCUAGGCGCAUGGGCCUAUAGGGGCUGGUGCCCUUGGCCCAUCUACGCCAAGGCGCACCCCCUACAGCCCAUGUGGCCCCCCAGGACAGGUGGCCCCACUCGGUGGACCCCCGGGACCCUUCCGGUGGUCCCGGUACAAUACCGAUAACCCCGAAACUUGUCCCGAUGCCCGAAAUAGCACUUCCUAUAUAUAAUUCUUUACCUCCGGACCAUUCUGGAACUCCUCGUGACGUCCGGGAUCUCAUCCGGGACUCCGAACAACAUUCGGGUUUCUGCAUAUACAUAUCUUCAUAACCCUAGCGUCACCGAACCUUAAGUGUGUAGACCCUACGGGUUCGGGAGACAAGCAGACAUGACCGAGACGACUCUCCGGUCAAUAACCAACAGCGGGAUCUGGAUACCCAUGUUGGCUCCCACAUGCUCCACGAUGAUCUCAUCGGAUGAACCACGAUGUCGAGGAUUCAAUCAAUCCCGUACGCUAUUCCCUUUGUCUAUCGAUAUGUUACUUGCCCGAGAUUCGAUCGUCGGUAUCCCAAUACCUCGUUCAAUCUCGUUACCGGCAAGUCACUUUACUCAUACCGUAAUGCAUGAUCCCGUGACCAGACACUUGGUCACUCUGAGCUCAUUAUGAUGAUGCAUUACCGAGUGGGCCCAGUGAUACCUCUCCGUCAUACGGAGUGACAAAUCCCAGUCUUGAUCCAUGUCACCCAACAGACACUUUCGGAGAUACCCGUAGUCUACCUUUAUAGUCACCCAGUUAUGUUGUGACGUUUGGCAUACCCAAAGCACUCCUACGGUAUCCGGGAGUUACACGAUCUCAUGGUCUAAGGAAAAGAUACUUUGCCAUUGGAAAACUCUAGCAAACGAACUAUACGAUCUUGUGCUAUGUUUAGGAUUGGGUCUUGUCCAUCACAUCAUUCUCCCAAUGAUGUGAUCUCGUUAUCAAUGACAUCCAGUGUCCAUAGUCAGGAAACCAUGACUAUCUGUUGAUCAACGAGCUAGUCAGCUAGAGGCUCACUAGGGACAUGUUGGUGUCUGUUAUUCACACAUGUAUUACGAUUUCCGGAUAACACAAUUAUAGCAUGAAUAAAGACAAUUAUCAUGAACAAGGAAAUAUAAUAAUAAUGCUUUUAUUAUUGCCUCUAGGGCAUAUUUCCAACAGUCUCCCACUUGCACUAGAGUCAAUAAUCUAGUUACAUUGUGAUGAAUCGAACACCCAUGGAAUUCUGGUGUUGAUCAUGUUUUGCUCUAGGGAGAGGUUUAGUCAACGGAUCUGCUAUAUUCAGGUCCGUAUGUACUUUACAAAUCUCUAUGUCUCCAUCUUGAACAUUUUCACGAAUGGAGUUGAAGCGACGCUUGAUGUGCCUUGUCUUCUUGUGAAACCUGGGCUCCUUGGCAAGUGCAAUAGCUCCAGUGUUGUCACAGAAGAGCUUGAUCGGCCCCGACGCAUUGGGUAUGACUCCUAGGUCGAUGAUGAACUCCUUCACCCAUAUUGCUUCAUGUGCUGCCUCCGAGGCUGCCAUGUACUCCGCUUCACAUGUAGAUCCCGCCACGACGCUUUGCUUGCAACUGCACCAGCUUACUGCCCCACCAUUCAAAAUAUACACGUAUCCGGUUUGUGACUUAGAGUCAUCCAGAUCUGUGUCGAAGCUAGCGUCGACGUAACCCUUUACGACGAGCUCUUCGUCACCUCCAUAAACGAGAAACAUUUCGUUAGUCCUUUUCAGGUACUUCAGGAUAUUCUUGACCGCUGUCCAGUGUUCCUUGCCGGGAUUACUUUGGUACCUUCCUACCAAACUGACGGCAAGGUUAACAUCAGGUCUGGUACACAACAUGGCAUACAUAAUAGAACCUAUGGCUGAGGCAUAGGGGAUGACGCUCAUCUCUUCUAUAUCUUCUGCCGUGGUCGGACAUUGAGCUGAGCUCAAUUUCAUACCUUGUAACACAGGCAAGAACCCCUUCUUGGAUUGAUCCAUAUUGAACUUCUUCAAUAUCUUAUCAAGGUAUGUGCUUUGUGAAAGACCUAUGAGGCGUCUCGAUCUAUCUCUAUAGAUUUUGAUGCCUAAUAUAUAAGCAGCUUCUCCAAGGUCCUUCAUUGAAAAACUUUUAUUCAAGUAGGCCUUGAUGCUGUCCAAGAGUUCCAUAUCAUUUCCCAUCAAAAGUAUGUCAUCUACAUAUAAUAUGAGAAAUGCUACAGAGCUCCCACUCACUUUCUUGUAAACGCAGGCUUCUCCAUAAGUCUGUGUAAACCCAAACGCUUUGAUCAUCUCAUCAAAGCGAAUGUUCCAACUCCGAGAUGCUUGCACCAGCCCAUAAAUCGAGCGUUUGAGCUUGCACACUUUGUCAGCAUUCUCAGGAUCGACAAAACCUUCCGGCUGCAUCAUAUACAAUUCUUCCUUAAGGAAACCAUUAAGGAAUGCCGUUUUGACGUCCAUUUGCCAUAUUUCGUAAUCAUAGAAUGCGGCAAUUGCUAACAUGAUUCGGACGGACUUCAGCUUCGCUACCGGUGAGAAAGUCUCAUUGUAGUCAACCCCUUGAACUUGUCGAUAACCCUUAGCGACAAGCCGAGCUUUAUAGAUGGUCACAUUACCAUCCGCGUCUGUCUUCCUCUUAAAGAUCCAUUUAUUUUCUAUGGCUCACCGCUCAACGGGCAAGUCAAUCAAAGUCCAUACUUUGUUUUCAUACAUGGAUCCUAUCUCGGAUUUCAUGGCUUCUAGCCAUUUGUCGGAAUCCGGGCCCGCCAUCGCUUCUUCAUAGUUCGAAGGUUCACCGUUGUCUAACAGCAUGAUUUCCAAGACAGGGUUGCCGUACCACUCUGGUGCGGAACGUGUCCUUGUGGACCUUCGAAUUUCAGUAGGGGCUUGAUCAGAAGUAUCUUGAUCAUUGUCAUUAACUUCCUCUCUAGUCGGUGCAGGCACCUCAGGAACAUUUUCUUGAGUUGCGCCAUUUUCCGGUUCAAGAGGUAAUACUUCAUCAAGCUCUACUUUCCUCCCACUUACUUCUUUCGAGAGAAACUCUUUCUCCAGAAAGGACCCAUUCUUGGCAACAAAGAUCUUGCCUUCGGAUCUGAGGUAGAAGGUGUACCCAAUAGUUUCUUUGGGUAUCCUAUGAAGACGCAUUUUUCCGACUUGGGUUCGAGCUUUUCAGGUUGAAGUUUCUUGACAUAAGCAUCGCAUCCCCAAACUUUUAGAAACGACAGCUUAGGUUUCUUCCCAAACCAUAAUUCAUACGGUGUCGUCUCAACGGAUUUCGACGGAGCCCUAUUUAAAGUGAAUGCGACAGUCUCUAAAGCAUAGCCCCAAAAGGAUAGCGGUAAAUCGGUAAGAGACAUCAUAGAUCGCACCAUAUCUAAUAGAGUGCGAUUACGACGUUCGGACACACCAUUACGCUGAGGUGUUCUAGGCGGCGUGAGUUGUGAAACUAUUCCACAUUUUCUUAAGUGUGUGCCAAACUCGUGACUCAAGUAUUCUCCUCCACGAUCUGAUCGUAGAAACUUGAUUUUCCUGUCACGUUGAUUUUCAACCUCACUCUGAAAUUCCUUGAACUUUUCAAAGGUUUCAGACUUGUGUUUCAUUAAGUAGAUAUACCCAUACCUACUUAAAUCAUCAGUGAGGGUGAGAACAUAACGAUAGCCACCGCGAGCCUCAACACUCAUUGGACCGCACACAUCAGUAUGUAUGAUUUCCAAUAAGUCGGUUGCUCGCUCCAUUGUUCCUGAGAACGGAGUCUUGGUCAUUUUACCCAUAAGGCAUGGUUCGCAUGUGUCAAAUGAUUCAUAAUCAAGAGACUCUAAAAGUCCAUCAGUAUGGAGCUUCUUCAUGCGUUUGACACCUAUGUGACCAAGGCGGCAGUGCCACAGGUAUGUGGGACUAUCAUUAUCAACCUUACUUCUUUUGGUACUCACAUUAUGAACAUGUGUAGCAUCACGUUCGAGAUUCAUAAAGAAUAAACCAUUCACCAUAGGAGCAUGACCAUAAAACAUAUCUCUCAUAAAAAUGGAACAACCAUUAUUCUCAGAUUUAAAUGAGUAGCCAUCUCGAAUUAAACGAGAUCCCGAUACAAUGUUCAUGCUCAAAGCUGGCACUAAAUAACAAUUAUUAAGGUUUAAAACUAAUCCCGAAGGGAGAUGCAGAGGUAGCGUGCCGACGGCGACCACAUUGACCUUGGAACCAUUCCCGACGCGCAUCGUCACCUCGUCCUUUGCCAGUUUCCGCUUAUUCUGCAGCCCCUGCUUUGAGUUACAAAUGUGAGCAACUGCACCGGUAUCAAAUACCCAGGAGCUACUACGGGCACUAGUAAGGUACACAUCAAUUACAUGUAUAUCACAUAUACCUUUUGUUUUGUCGGCCUUCUUAUCCGCUAAGUACUUAGGGCAGUUCCGCUUCCAGUGACCGCUUCCCUUGCAAUAAAAGCACUCAGUCUCGGGCUUGGGUCCAUUCUUUGGCUUCUUCCCGGUAGCUUGCUUGCCGGGCGCGGCAACCUCCUUGCCGUCCUUCUUGAAGUUCUUUUUACCCUUGCCUUUCUUGAACUUAGUGGUUUUAUUGACCAUCAACACUUGAUGUUCCUUCCUGACUUCUACCUCUGCUGAUUUCAGCAUAGCAAAUACUUCAGGAAUGGUCUUUUCCAUCCCCUGCAUAUUGAAGUUCAUCACAAAGCUCUUGUAGCUUGGUGGAAGCGACUGGAGGAUUCUGUCAAUGACCGCAUCAUCCGGGAGAUUAACUCCCAGCUGAGUCAAGCGGUUAUGCAACCCAGACAUAGUGAGUAUGUGCUCACUGACAGAACUGUUUUCCUCCAUCUUACAGCUGAAGAAUUUGUCGGAGACUUCAUAUCUCUCGACCCGGGCAUGAGCUUGGAAAACCAUUUUCAGCUCUUCGAACAUCUCAUAUGCUCCAUGUCUCUCAAAACGCUUUUGGAGCCCCGGCUCUAGGCUGUAAAGCAUGCCGCACUGAACGAGGGAGUAGUCAUCGGAACGUGCCUGCCAAGCGUUCAUAACAUCUUGUUCUGCAGGGAGAAUGGGUGCGUCACCAAGCGGUGCUUGUAGGACAUAAUCUUUCUUGGCAGCUAUGAGGAUGAUCCUCAUGUUCCGGACCCAGUCCGUAUAGUUGCUGCCAUCGUCUUUCAGCUUGGUUUUCUCUAGGAACGCGUUGAAGUUGAGGACUACGUUGGCCAUUUAAUCUACAAGACAUAUUGUAAAAUAUUUAGACUAAGUUCAUGAUAAUUAAGUUCAACUAAUCAAAUUAUUAAUGAACUCCCACUUAGAUUAGACAUCCCUCCAGUCAUCUAAGUAUUACAUGAUCCGAGUUUAACUAGACCGUGUCCGAUCAUCACGUGAGACGGACUAGUCAACGUCGGUGAACAUCUUCAUGUUGAUCGUAUCUUCUAUACGACUCAUGCUCGACCUUUCGGUCUUCUGUGUUCCGAGGCCAUGUCUGUACAUGCUAGGCUCGUCAAGUUAACCUAAGUGUUUGCAUGUGUAAAUCUGUCUUACACCCAUUGUAUGUGAACGUCUGAAUAAAACACCCGAUCAUCAUGUGGUGUUUUGAAACAGCGAACUGUCGCAACGGUGCACAGUUAGGGGGAACACUUCUUGAAUUUAUUGUGAGGGAUCAUCUUAUUUACUACCGUCGUUCUAAGUAAACAAGAUGCAAAACAUGAUAAACAUCACAUGCAAUCAAAUAAUAAACGUGACAUGAUAUGGCCAAUAUCACAUAGCUCCUUUGAUCUCCAUCUUGGGGCUCCAUGAUCAUCUUGUCACCGGCUUGACACCAUGAUCUCCAUCAUCAUGAUCUCCAUCAUCGUGUCUCCAUGAAGUUGCUCGCCAACUAUUACUUCUACUACUAUGGCUAACGCGUUUAGCAAUAAAGUAAAGUAAUUUACAUGGCGUUUCUCGAUGACACGCAGGUCAUAAAAAGAAUAAAGACAACUCCUAUGGCUCCUGCCGGUUGUCAUACUCAUCGACAUGCAAGUCGUGAAUCCUAUUACAAUAGCAUGAACAUCUCAUACAUCACAUAUAGAUCAUUCAUCAUUCAUCACAACUUUGGCCAUAUCAUAUCACAAACCACUUGCUGCAAAAACAAGUUAGACGUCCUCUAAUAGUUGUUGCAAGUUUUACGUGGCUGAAUUAGGGUUCUAGCAAGAACGUUUUCUUACCUACGUUAAAGCCACAACGUGAUUUGUCAACUUCUAUUUACCCUUCAUAAGGACCCUGUUCAUCGAUUCCGCUCCAACUAAAGUGAGAGAGACAGACACCCGCCAGCCACCUUAUGCAACUAGUGCAUGUUAGUCGGUGGAACCGGUCUCACGUAAGCGUACGUGUAAGGUUGGUCCGGGCCGCUUCAUCCCACAAUACCGCUGAAGCAAGAAAGGACUAGUAACGGCAAGAAAGUUGACAAAUCUACGCCCACAACAAAUUGUGUUCUACUCGCGCAAGAAGAACUACGCAUAGACCUAGCUCAUGAUGCCACUGUUGGGGAACGUUGCAGAAAACAAAAAUUUUCCUACUCGUUUCACCAAGAUCAUCUAGGAGUUCAUCUAGCAACGAGUGAUUAGAUGCAUCUACAUACCUUUGUAGAUCGCGCACGGAAGCGUUCAAAAGAAUGGUGAUGAUGUAGUCGUACUCGACGUGAUCCAAAUCACCGAUGACCAGCGCCGAACGGACGGCACCUCCGCGUUCAACACACGUACGGGACGGGAGACGUCUCCUCCUUAUUGAUCCAGCAAGGGGGAAGGAGAGGUUGAUGAAGAUCCAGCAGCACGACAACGUGGUGGUGGAUGCAGGGCGUCACAGCAGCAGGGCUUCGCCGAGACUACGAGGGAGAGACGUAACGGGGGGAGAUGGAGGCGCCAGGGGCUGGUGUGUAAUCCCUCCUCUCCCCCCACUAUAUAUAGGGGUGCCAGGGGGGCGCCGGCCCUAGUAGAUGAGAUCUACUAGGGGGGGCGGCGGCCAAGGGGAGGUUUCCCUCCCCCCCAAGGCACCUAGGGGUGCCUUCCACCACAUGGACUCUUCCAUGGUGGAAACCCUAGGCGCAUGGGCCUAUAGGGGCUGGUGCCCUUGGCCCAUCUAGGCCAAGGCGCACCCCCUACAGCCCAUGUGGCCCCCCGGGACAGGUGGCCCCACCCGGUGGACCCCCGGGACCCUUCCGGUGGUCCCGGUACAAUACCGAUAACCCCGAAACUUGUCCCGAUGCCCGAAAUAGCACUUCCUAUAUAUAAUUCUUUACCUCCGGACCAUUCCGGAACUCCUCGUGACGUCCGGGAUCUCAUUCGGGACUCCGAACAACAUUCGGGUUUUUGCAUAUACAUAUCUUCAUAACCCUAGCGUCACCGAACCUUAAGUGUGUAGACCCUACGGGUUCGGGAGACAAGCAGACAUGACCGAGACGACUCUCCGGUCAAUAACCAACAGCGGGAUCUGGAUACCCAUGUUGGCUCCCACAUGCUCCACGAUGAUCUCAUCGGAUGAACCACGAUGUCGAGGAUUCAAUCAAUCCCGUACGCUAUUCCCUUUGUCUAUCGAUAUGUUACUUGCCCGAGAUUCGAUCGUCGGUAUCCCAAUACCUCGUUCAAUCUCGUUACCGGCAAGUCACUUUACUCGUACCGUAAUGCAUGAUCCCGUGACCAGACACUUGGUCACUCUGAGCUCAUUAUGAUGAUGCAUUACCGAGUGGGCCCAGUGAUACCUCUCCGUCAUACGGAGUGACAAAUCCCAGUCUUGAUCCAUGUCACCCAACAUACACUUUCGGAGAUACCCGUAGUCUACCUUUAUAGUCACCCAGUUACGUUGUGACGUUUGGCAUACCCAAAGCACUCCUACGGUAUCCGGGAGUUACACGAUCUCAUGGUCUAAGGAAAAGAUACUUUGACAUUGGAAAACUCUAGCAAACGAACUAUACGAUCUUGUGCUAUGUUUAGGAUUGGGUCUUGUCCAUCACAUCAUUCUCCCAAUGAUGUGAUCUCGUUAUCAAUGACAUCCAGUGUCCAUAGUCAGGAAACCAUGACUAUCUGUUGAUCAACGAGCUAGUCAACUAGAGGCUCACUAGGGACAUGUUGGUGUCUGUUAUUCACACAUGUAUUACGAUUUCCGGAUAACACAAUUAUAGCAUGAAUAAAGACAAUUAUCAUGAACAAGGAAAUAUAAUAAUAAUGCUUUUAUUAUUGCCUCUAGGGCAUAUUUCCAACACCAGGGGCUAGGGUGCGGCUGCCCUCCCUCCCCCCCACUAUAUAUAGGACCCCUAGGGGGGCGCCGGCCCUAGGAGAUUGAAUCUCCAAGGGGGGGCGGCAGCCAAGGGGGGUGGAGUGCCCCCCAAGCCAAGUGGGGCGCCCCCCACCCCUAGGGUUUCCAACCCUAGGCGCAGGGGGAGGCCCAUGGGGGGGCGCACAAGCCCACUAGGGGCUGGUUCCCCUCCCACUUUAGCCCAUGCGGCCCUCCGGGAUAGGUGGCCCCACCUGGUGGACCCCCGGGACCCUUCCGGUGGUCCCGGUACAAUACCGAUUACCCCCGAAACCUUCCCGAUGGCCGAACCUUGACUUCCUAUAUAUAAAUCUUCACCUCUGGACCAUUCCGGAACUCCUCGUGAUGUCCGGGAUCUCAUCCGGGACUUCGAACAACUUUCGGGUUACCAUAUACUAAUAUCUCAACAACCCUAGCGUCACCGAACCUUAAGUGUGUAGACCCUACGGGUUCGGGAGACACACAGACAUGACCGAGACGACUCUCCGGUCAAUAACCAACAGCGGGAUCUGGAUACCCAUGUUGGCUCCCACAUGCUCCUCGAUGAUCUCAUCGGAUGAACCACGAUGUCGAGGAUUCAAUCAAUCCCGUAUACAAUUCCCUUUCUCAAUCGGUACGUUACUUGCCCGAGACUCGAUCGUGGGUAUCCCAAUACCUCGUUCAAUCUCGUUACCGGCAAGUCACUUUACUCGUACCGUAAUGCAUGAUCCCGUGAUCAACCACUUGGUCACAUUGAGCUCAUUAUGAUGAUGCAUUACCGAGUGGGCCCAGAGAUACCUCUCCGUCAUACGGAGUGACAAAUCCCAGUCUCGAUUCGUGCCAACCCAACAGACACUUUCGGAGAUACAUGUAGUGUACCUUUAUAGUCACCCAGUUACGUUGUGAUGUUUGGCACACCCAAAGCACUCCUACGGCAUCCGGGAGUUUCACAAUCUCAUGGUCUAAGGAAAUGAUACUUGACAUUCGGAAAAGCUAUAGCAAACGAACAACACAAUCUUUGAGCUAUGCUUAGGAUUGGGUCUUGUCCAUCACAUCAUUCUCCUAAUGAUGUGAUCCCGUUAUCAAUGACAUCCAAUGUCCAUAGUCAGGAAACCAUGACUAUCUUUUGAUCAACGAGCUAGUCAACUAGAGGGUCACUAGGGACGUGUUGUGGUCUAUGUAUUCACACAUGUAUUACGAUUUCCGGAUAACACAAUUAUAUCAUGAACAAUAGACAAUUAUCAUGAACAAAGAAAUAUAAUAGUAACCAUUUUAUUAUUGCCUCUAGGGCAUAUUUCCAACAGUCUCCCACUUGCACUAGAGUCAAUAGUCUAGUUACAUUGUGAUGAAUCGAACACCCAUGCAGUUCUGGUGUUGAUCAUGUUUUGCUCUAGGGAGAGGUUUAGUCAACGGAUCUGCCACAUUCAGGUCCGUAUGUACUUUACAAAUAUCUAUGUCUCCAUUUUGAACACUUUCACGAAUGGAGUUGAAGCGACGCUUGAUAUGCCUGGUCUUCCUGUGAAACCUGGGCUCCUUGGGAAGGGCAAUAGCUCCAGUGUUGUCACAGAAGAGAGUCAUCGGGCCCGACGCAUUGGGUAUGACUCCUAGGUCGGUAAUGAACUCCUUCACCCAGAUUGCUUCUUGUGCUGCCUCCGAGGCUGCCAUGUACUCCGCUUCACAUGUAGAUCCCGCCACAACGCUUUGCUUGCAACUGCACCAGCUUACUGCCCCACCAUUCAAAAUAUACACGUAUCCGGUUUGUGACUUAGAGUCAUCCAGAUCUGUGUCGAAGCUAGCAACGACGUAACCCUUUACGACGAGCUCUUCGUCACCUCCAUAAAUGAGAAACAUUUCCUUAGUCCUCUUCAGGUACUUCAGGAUAUUCUUGACCGCUGUCCAGUGUUCCAUGCCGGGAUUACUUUGGUACCUUCCUACCAAACUUACGGCAAGGUUUACAUCAGGUCUGGUACACAGCAUAGCAUACAUGAUAGACCCUAUGGUCGAGGCAUAGGGGACGACACUCAUCUUUUCUCUAUCUUCUGCCGUGGUCGGGCAUUGAGCCGUGCUCAAUCUCGUACCUUGCAAUACAGGCAAGAACCCCUUUUUUGACUGAUCCAUUUUGAACUUCUUCAAUAUCUUGUCAAGGUACGUACUCUGUGAAAGACCAAUGAGGCGUCUCGAUCUAUCUCUAUAGAUAUUGAUGCCUAAUAUAUAAGCAGCUUCUCCAAGAUCCUUCAUUGAAAAACACUUGUUCAAGUAGGCCUUUAUGCUUUCCAAGAAUUCUAUAUCAUUUCCCAUCAACAGUAUGUCAUCCACAUACAAUAUGAGAAAUGCUACAGAGCUCCCACUCACUUUCUUGUAAAUGCAGGCUUCUCCAUAAGUCCGCGUAAACCCAAACGCUUUGAUCAUCUCAUCAAAACGAAUGUUCCAACUCCGAGAUGCUUGCACCAGCCCAUAAAUCGAGCAUUGGAGCUUGCACACCUUGUCAGCAUUCUUAGGAUCGACAAAACCUUCCGGCUGCAUCAUAUACAAUUCUUCCUUAAGGAAACCAUUAAGGAAUGCCGUUUUGACAUCCAUUUGCCAUAUCUCAUAAUCAUAGAAUGCGGCAAUUGCUAACAUGAUUCGGACGAACUUCAGCUUCGCUACGGGUGAGAAAGUCUCAUCGUAGUCAACCCCUUGAACUUGUCGAUAACCCUUAGCGACAAGCUGAGCUUUAUAGAUGGUUACAUUACCAUCCGCGUCUGUCUUCUUCUUAAAGAUCCAUUUAUUUUCUAUGGCUCGCCGAUCAUCGAGCAAGUCAGUCAAAGUCCAUACUUUGUUUUCAUACAUGGAUCCUAUCUCGGAUUUCAUGGCUUCCAGCCAUUUGUCGGAAUCUGGGCCCGCCAUUGCUUCUUCAUAGUUCGAAGGUUCACCGUUGUCUAACAACAUGAUUUCCAGGACAGGGUUGCCGUACCACUCUGGUGCGGGACGUGUCCUUGUGGACCUACGAAGUUCAGUAGCAACUUGAUCUGAAGUUUCAUGAUCAUCAUCAUUAACUUCCUCUCUAGUCGGUGCAGGCACCUCAGGAACAAUUUCUUGAGCUGCGCCACUUACCGGUUCAAGAAGUAAUACUUCAUCGAGUUCUACUUUCCUCCCACUUAUUUCUUUCGAGAGAAACUCUUUCUCUAGAAAGGAUCCAUUCUUGGCAACAAAGAUCUUGCCUUCGGAUCUGAGGUAGAAGGUAUACCCAAUAGUUUCUUUAGGGUACCCUAUGAAGACGCAUUUUUCCGACUUGGGUUCGAGCUUUUCAGGUUGAAGUUUCUUGACAUAAGCAUCGCAUCCCCAAACUUUUAGAAAUGACAGCUUAGGUUUCUUCCCAAACCAUAGUUCAUACGGUGUCGUCUCAACGGAUUUCGAUGGAGCCCUAUUUAAAGUGAAUGCGGCAGUCUCUAAAGCAAAGCCCCAAAAUGACAGCGGUAAAUCGGUAAGAGACAUCAUAGAUCGCACCAUAUCCAAUAGAGUGCGAUUACGACGUUCGGACACACCAUUACGCUGAGGUGUUCCAGGCGGCGUGAGUUGUGAAACUAUUCCACAUUUCCUUAAGUGUGUGCCAGUUUCAUGACUCAAGUAUUCUCCCCACGAUCUGAUCGCAAGAACUUGAUUUUUCUGUCAUGUUGAUUCUCAACCUCACUCUGAAAUUCCUUGAACUUUUCAAAGGUCUAAGACUUGUGUUUCAUUAAGUAUACAUACCCAUAUCUACUCAUGUCAUCAGUGAGGGUGAGAACAUAACGAUAGCCACCGCGAGCCUCAACACUCAUUGGACUGCACACAUCAGUAUGUAUGAUUUCCAAUAAGUUGGUUGCUCGCUCCAUUGUUCCUGAGAACGGAGUCUUGGUCAUUUUACCCAUGAGGCAUGGUUCGCACGUGUCAAAUGAUUUGUAAUCAAGAGACUCCAAAAGUCCAUCUGCAUGGAGCUUCUUCAUGCGUUUGACACCUAUGUGACCAAGGCGGCAGUGCCACAAGUAUGUGGGACUAUCAUUAUCAACCUUACAUCUUUUGGUAUUCACGCUAUGAAUUUGUGUAACAUUACGCUCGAGAUUCAUUAAGAAUAAACCAUUCACCAGCGGAGCAUGACCAUAAAACAUAUCUCUCAUAUAAAUAGAACAACCAUUAUUCUCGGAUUUAAAUGAGUAGCCAUCUCGAAUUAAACGAGAUCCUGAUACAAUGUUCAUGCUCAAAGCUGGCACUAAAUAACAAUUAUUGAGGUUUAAAACUAAUCCCGUAGGUAAAUGUAGAGGCAGCGUGCCGACGGCGAUCACAUCGACCUUGGAACCAUUCCUGACGCGCAUCGUCACCUCGUCCUUCGCCAGUUUCCGCUUAUUCCGCAGCUCCUGCUUUGAGUUACAAAUGUGAGCAACCGCACCGGUAUCAAAUACCCAGGAGCUACUACGAGUACUGGUAAGGUACACAUCAAUUACAUGUAUAUCACAUAUACCUUUAGUGUUGCCGGCCUUCUUGCCCGCUAAGUAUUUGGGGCCGUUCCGCUUCCAGUGACCACCUCCCUUGCAAUAAAAACACUCAGUCUCAGGCUUGGGUCCAUUCUUUGACUUCUUCCCGGCAGCUUGCUUAUCGGGCGCAGCAACUCCCUUGCCAUCCUUCUUGAAGUUCUUCUUACCCUUGCCUUUCUUGAACUUAGUGGUUUUAUUCACCAUCAACACUUGAUGUUUCUUUUUGAUUUCCACCUCUGCUGAUUUCAGCAUUGAAUAUACCUCAAGAAUGGUCUUUUCCAUCCCCUGCAUAUUGAAGUUCAUCACAAAGCUCUUGUAGCUCGGUGGAAGCGACUGAAGGAUUCUGUCAAUGACCGCGUCAUCUGGGAGAUUAACUCCCAGCUGAGUCAAGCGGUUAUGCAACCCAGACAUUUUGAGUAUGUGCUCACUGACAGAACUAUUUUCCUCCAUCUUACAACUGAAGAACUUGUCGGAGACUUCAUAUCUCUCGACCCGGGCAUGAGCUUGGAAAACCAUUUUCAGCUCUUCGAACAUCUCAUAUGCUCCGUGUCGCUCAAAACGCUUUUGGAGCCCCGGUUCUAAGCUGUAAAGCAUGCCGCACUAAACGAGGGAGUAAUCAUCAGCACGUGACUGCCAAGCGUUCAUAACAUCUUGGUUCUCUGGGAUGGGUGCGUCACCUAGCGGUGCUUCUAGGACAUAAUAUUUCUUGGCAGCUAUGAGGAUGAUCCUCAGGUUCCGUACCCAGUCCGUAUAAUUGCUGCCAUCAUCUUUCAGCUUGGUUUUCUCUAGGAACGCGUUGAAGUUGAGGGCAACAUUAGCGUGGGCCAUUUGAUCUACAAGACAUAGUGUAAAGAUUUUAGACUAAGUUCAUGAUAAUUAAGUUCAUCUAAUCAAAUUAUUCAAUGAACUCCCACUCAGAUAGACAUCCCUCUAGUCAUCUAAGUGAAACAUGAUCCGAGUUAACUAGGCCCUGUCCGAUCAUCACGUGAGACGGACUAGUCAACAUCGGUGAACAUCUUCAUGUUGAUCGUAUAUUCUAUACAACUCAUGCUCGACCUUUCGGUCUUCCGUGUUCCGAGGCCAUGUCUGUACAUGCUAGGCUCGUCAAGUCAAUCUAAGUGUAUUGCGUGUGUAAAUUUGGCUUACACCCGUUGUAUUCGAAUGUUAGAAUCUAUCACACCCGAUCAUCACGUGGUGCUUCGAAACAACGAACCUUUGCAACGGUGCACAGUUAGGGGGAACACUUUCUUGAAAUUAUUAUGAGGGAUCAUCUUAUUUAAGCUACCGUCGUUCUAAGCAAAUAAGAUGUAAAACAUGAUAAACAUCACAUGCAAUCAAAUAGUGACAUGAUAUGGCCAAUAUUAUUUGCUCCUUUUGAUCUCCAUCUUCGGGGCUUCAUGAUCAUCGUUGUCACCGGCAUGACACCAUGAUCUCCAUCAUCGUGUCUUCUUGAAGUUGUCUCAUCAUCUAUUACUUCUACUACUAUGGCUAACGCUUUAGCAAUAAUGUAAAGUAAUUACAUGACGUUUAUGUUGACACGCAGGUCAUAAAUAAAUAAAGACAACUUCUAUGGCUCCUGCCGGUUGUCAUACUCAUCGACAUGCAAGUCGUGAUUCCUAUUACAAGAACAUGAUCAAUCUCAUACAUCACAUAUAUCAUUCAUCACAUCCUUUUGGCCAUAUCACAUCACACGACACAUGCUGCAAAAACAAGUUAGACGUCCUCUAAUUGUUGUUGCAAGUUUUUACGUGGCUGCUAUAGGUUUCUAGCAAGAACGUUUCUUACCUACGCCAAAACCACAACGUGAUAUGCCAAUUUCUAUUUACCCUUCAUAAGGACCCUUUUCAUCGAAUCCGAUCCGACUAAAGUGGGAGAGACAGACACCCGCCAACCACCUUAUGCAACUAGUGCAUGUCAAUCGGUGGAACCAGUCUCACGUAAGCGUACGUGUAAGGUCGGUCCGAGCCGCUUCAUCCCAUGAUGCCGCCGAAUCAAGAUAAGACUAGUAACGGCAAGCAAAUUGACAAUAUCCACGCCCACAACUGCUUUGUGUUCUACUCGUGCAUAGAAACUACACAUAGACCUAGAUCAUGAUGCCACUGUUGGGGAACAUAGCAGAAUUUUAAAAUUUUCUACGCAUCACCAAGAUCAAUCUAUGGAUUCAUCUAGCAACGAGGGAGAGAGGAGUGCAUCUACAUACCCUUGUAGAUCGCGCGCAGAAGCGUUCAAGAAAACAGGGUUGAUGGAGUCGUACUCGUCGUGAUCCAAAUCACCGAUGACCUAGCGCCGAACGGACGGCACCUCCGCGUUCAACACACGUACGGUUGGGAAGACGUCUCCUCCAAAUUUAUCCAGCAAGGGGGAAGGAGAGGUUGAUGAAGAUCCAGCAGCACGACGGCGUGGUGGUGGAAGCAACGGUGAUCUCGGCAGGGCUUCGCCAAGCUCAGGGAGAGGGAGGAGUGUCACGGGAGGGAGAGGGAGGCGCCAGGGGCUAGGGUGCGGCUGCCCUCCCUCCCCCCACUAUAUAUAGGACCACUAGGGGGGCGCCGGCCCUAGGAGAUUGAAUCUCCAAGGGGGGGGGGGCGGCCAAGGGGGGUGGAGUGCCCCCCAAGCCAAGUGGAGCGCCCCCACCCCUAGGGUUUCCAACCCUAGGCGCAGGGGGAGGCCCAUGGGGGGGGGGCGCACCAGCCUACUAGGGGCUGGUUCCCCUCCCACUUUAGCCCAUGGCCCCCUCCGGGAUAGGUGGCCCCACCCGGUGGACCCCCGAGACCCUUCCGGUGGUCCCGGUACAAUACCGAUUACCCCCGAAACCUUCCCGAUGGCCGAAAAUUGACUUCCUAUAUAUAAAUCUUCACCUCCGGACCAUUCUGGAACUCCUCGUGACGUCCGGGAUCUCAUCUGGGACUCCGAACAACUUUCGGGUUACCGUAUACUAAUAUCUCAACAACCCUAGCAUCACGGAACCUUAAGUGUGUAGACCCUACGGGUUCGGGAGACACGCAGACAUGACCGAGACGACUCUCCGGUCAAUAACCAACAACGGGAUCUGGAUACCCAUGUUGGCUCCCACAUGCUCCUCGAUGAUCUAAUCGGAUGAACCACGAUGUCGAGGAUUCAAUCAAUCCCGUAUACAAUUCCCUUUGUCAAUCGGUAUGUUACUUGCCCAAGACUCGAUCGUCGGUAUCCCAAUACCUCGUUCAAUCUCGUUACCGGCAAGUCACUUUACUCGUACCGUAAUGCAUGAUCCCGUGAUCAACCACUUGGUCACAUUGAGCUCAUUAUGAUGAUGCAUUACCGAGUGGGCCCAGAGAUACCUCUCCGUCAUACAAAGUGACAAAUCCCAGUCUCGAUUCGUGCCAACCCAACAGACACUUUCGGAGAUACAUGUAGUGUACCUUUAUAGUCACCCAGUUACGUUGUGAUGUUUGGCACACCCAAAGCACUCCUACGGUAUCCGGGAGUUGCACAAUCUCAUGGUCUAAGGAAAUGAUACUUGACAUCCGGAAAAGCUAUAGCAAACGAACUACACGAUCUUUGAGCUAUGCUUACGAUUGGGUCUUGUCCAUCACAUCAUUCUCCUAAUGAUGUGAUCCCGUUAUCAAUGACAUCCAAUGUCCAUAGUCAGGAAACCAUGACUAUCUUUUGAUCAACGAGCUAGUCAACUAGAGGGUCACUAGGGACGUGUUGUGGUCUAUGUAUUCACACAUGUAUUACGAUUUCCGGAUAACACAAUUAUAGCGUGAACAAUAGACAAUUAUCAUGAACAAAGAAAUAUAAUAAUAACCAUUUUAUUAUUGCCUCUAGGGCAUAUUUCCAACAGUACCGGGAUAUGCAAUGAAUCAAGAGUGACAUGUAUGAAAGAAUUAUGAACGGUGGCUUUUCCCCGAAUACUAUGUCAGCUACAUGAUCAUGCUAAGCAAUAUGACAAUGAUGAAUGUGUCAUGAAGAACGGUACGGUGGAAAGAUGCAUGGCAAUAUAUUUCGGAAUGGCUAUGGAAAUGCCAUAAUAGGUAGGCAUGGUGGCUGUUUUGAGGAAGGUAUAUGGUGAGUUUAUGGUACCGGCGAAAGUUGCGCGGUAUUAGAGAGGCUAGCAAAGGUGGAAGGGUGAGAGUGCGUAUAAUCCAUGGACUCAACAUUAGUCAUAAAGAACUCACAUACUUAUUGCAAAAAUCUAUUAGUUAUCAAAACAAAGUACUAUGCGCAUGCUCCUAGGGGGAUAGAUUGGUAGGAAAAGACCAUCGCUCGUCCCCGACCGCCACUCAUAAGGAAGACAAUCAAUAAAUAAAUCAUGCUCCGAUUUCGUUACAUAACGGUUCACAAUACGUGCAUGCUACGGGAAUCACAAACUUCAACACAAGUAUUUCUCAAAUUAAUAACCAAUCAACUAGCAUGACUCUAAUAUCACCAUCUCCAUAUCUCAAAACAAUUACCAAGUAUCAAACUUCUCAUAGUAUUCAAUACACUCGUAAGAGAAUUUUAUUAUUCUUGAAUACCUAGCAUAUUAGGAUUUUAAGCAAAUUACCAUGCUAUUUAAGACUCUCAAAAUAAUAUAAGUGAAGCAUGAGAGUUCAUCUAUUUAUUCAAAAUAAAACUACCACCAUGCUCUAAAAGAUAUAAGUGAAGCACUAGAGCAAAUGACAAACUACUCCGAAAGAUAUAAGUGAAGAUCAAUGAGUAGUCGAAUAAUUAUGCAACUAUGUGAAGACUCUAUAACAUUCAAUAAUUUCAUAUCUUGGUAUUCUAUUCAAACAGCAAGCAAAGCAAAAUAAAAUGACAUUCUAAGAAUAGCAAACAUCAUGUGAAGAAGCAAAAACUUAGGAUCAACCGGUACUAACCGAUAAUUGUUGAAGAAGAAAGGUGGGAUGCCAACCGGGGCAUCCCCAAGCUUAGACGCUUGAGACUUCUUGAAAUAUUAUCUUGGGGUGCCUUGGGCAUCCCCAAGCUUGAGCUUUUGUGUCUCCUUAAUUCCUCUCAUAUCACGGUCUCCCUAAAUCUCAAAAGCUUCAUCCACACAAAACUCAACAAGGACUCGUGAGAUAAGUUAGUAUAAACUAUUGCAAAAACCUUAUCAUACUAUACUGUAGCAAAUCACUAAAAUUACUAUUCAAUAUUGCAUACUAAAUGUCUCUGCAUAUUUAAUAGUCUUAUCCUCAAAUAGAAUCAUUAAAGAAGCAAACAUAUGCAAACAAUGCAAACAUAACAGCAAUCUGCCUAAACAUGAUAGUCUGUAAAGAAUGCUGCAACAUCCAUACUUCCCUAACUCCAAAAAUUAUGAAAGAAAAUUACCACUAUAUUAAAUUUAUCAGAUCUUAAUAUGCAAAAGAUUUCAACAUUUUAUCACAUUCUGACUUUUUUGGGGAAUUAUUGCAACAGCGGUAAACUUUCUGUUUUUAAACAGCAACAUGUGGACUUCUAAAAUAGGCAUAGUAAAGGCUAUCAAUGCCACUUUUAUUGAAAUAAAAUAUGCAAAACAUUGUUAUAAAUAACAGAAAGAAAAUUCUAAUAAAAUAAAUUGACGCUCCAAGCAAAACACAUAUCAUGUGGCGAAUAAAAAUAUAGCUCCAAGUAAAGUUACCGAUGAACGAAGACGAAAGAGGGGACGCCUUCCGGGGCAUCCCCAAGCUUAGGCUCUUGUCUAUCCUUGAAUAUUACCUUGGGGUGCCUUGGGAAUCACCAAGCUUAGGAUAUUGCCACUCCUUAUUCCAUAGUCCAUCGAAUCCUUACCCAAAACUUGAAAACUUCACAACACAAAACUUAACAGAAAACUCGUAAGCUCCGUUAGUAUAAGAAAGUAAAUCACCACUUCAAGGUACUUUAAUGAAUUCAUUCUUUAUUUAUAUUGGUGUUAAACCUACUGUAUUACAACUUCUCUAUGGUUUAUAAACUCUUUUACGAUCCAUAGAUUCAUAAAAAUAAGUAAACAACACAUGAAAAACAGAAUCUGUCAAAAACAGAACAGUCUGUAGUAAUCUGGAUCAAACGCAUACUUCUGGAACUUAUAAAAUUCUCAAAUAAAUUGCUGGAACUGAGUAAUUUAUCUAUUAAUCAUAUGAAAAAAUAAUUAACUAAAUAUCACUCUCCAAAUAAAAAUGGCAGCAAUUCUUGUGAGCGCUAAAAUUUCUGUUUUUGACAGCAUGAUCAACAAGACUUUCCCCAAGUCUUCUCAAAGGUUCUACUUGGCACAAACACUAAUAAAAAGCAUAAAGCCACAUAUAAACAGAGUCUAGAUGAAUUAUUUAUUACUAAACAGGAACAAAAAGCAAGAAACAAAAAUAAAGUUGGGUUUCCUCCCAACAAGCGCUAUCGUUUAACGCCCCUAGCUAGGCAUGAUGAUUUCAAUGUGUUGGGGAACGUUGCAGAAAACAAAAAUUUUCCUACUCGUUUCACCAAGAUCAUCUAGGAGUUCAUCUAGCAACGAGUGAUUAGAUGCAUCUACAUACCUUUGUAGAUCGCGCACGGAAGCGUUCAAAAGAACGGUGAUGAUGUAGUCGUACUCGACGUGAUCCAAAUCACCGAUGACCAGCGCCGAACGGACGGCACCUCCGUGUUCAACACACGUACGGGACGGGAGACGUCUCCUCCUUCUUGAUCCAGCAAGGGGGGAGGAGAGGUUGAUGAAGAUCCAGCAGCACGACGGCGUGGUGGUGGAUGCAGGGCGUCACAGCAGCAGGGCUUCGCCGAGACUACGAGGGAGAGACGUAACGGGGGGAGAUGGAGGCGCCAGGGGCUGGUGUGAAAUCCCUCCUCUCCCCCCCACUAUAUAUAGGGGUGCCAGGGGGGGCGCCGGCCCUAGUAGAUGAGAUCUACUAAGGGGGGGCGGCGGCCAAGGGGAGGUUUCCCUCCCCCCCAAGGCACCUAGGGGUGCCUUCCACCACAUGGACUCUUCCAUGGUGGAAACCCUAGGCGCAUGGGCCUAUAGGGGCUGGUGCCCUUGGCCCAUCUAGGCCAAGGCGCACCCCCUACAGCCCAUGUGGCCCCCCGGGACAGGUGGCCCCACCCGGUGGACCCCCGGGACCCUUCCGGUGGUCCCGGUACAAUACCGAUAACCCCGAAACUUGUCCCGAUGCCCGAAAUAGCACUUCCUAUAUAUAAUUCUUUACCUCCGGACCAUUCCGGAACUCCUCGUGACGUCCGGGAUCUCAUCCGGGACUCCGAACAACAUUCGGGUUUCUGCAUAUACAUAUCUUCAUAACCCUAGCGUCAUCGAACCUUAAGUGUGUAGACCCUACGGGUUCGGGAGACAAGCAGACAUGACCGAGACGACUCUCCGGUCAAUAACCAACAGCGGGAUCUGGAUACCCAUGUUGGCUCCCACAUGCUCCACGAUGAUCUCAUCGGAUGAACCACGAUGUCGAGGAUUCAAUCAAUCCNNNNNNNNNNGGCCCAGUGAUACCUCUCCGUCAUACGGAGUGACAAAUCCCAGUCUUGAUCCAUGUCACCCAACAGACACUUUCGGAGAUACCCGUAGUCUACCUUUAUAGUCACCCAGUUACGUUGUGACGUUUGGCAUACCCAAAGCACUCCUACGGUAUCCGGGAGUUACACGAUCUCAUGGUCUAAGGAAAAGAUACUUUGACAUUGGAAAACUCUAGCAAACGAACUAUAUGAUCUUGUGCUAUGUUUAGGAUUGGGUCUUGUCCAUCACAUCAUUCUCCCAAUGAUGUGAUCUCGUUAUCAAUGACAUCCAGUGUCCAUAGUCAGGAAACCAUGACUAUCUGUUGAUCAACGAGCUAGUCAACUAGAGGCUCACUAGGGACAUGUUGGUGUCUGUUAUUCACACAUGUAUUACGAUUUCCGGAUAACACAAUUAUAGCAUGAAUAAAGACAAUUAUCAUGAACAAGGAAAUAUAAUAAUAAUGCUUUUAUUAUUGCCUCUAGGGCAUAUUUCCAACACAAUGAUGCUCACAUAAAGGAUAAGAAUUGAAACAUAAAGAGAGCAUCAUGAAGAAUAUGACUAGAACAUUUAAGUCUAACAUACUUCCUAUGCAUAGGGAUUUUGUGAGCAAACAACUUAUGGGAACAAUAAUCAACUAACAUAGGGAGGUAAAACAAGCAUAACUUCAAAACUUUAAGCACACAGAGAGGAAACUUGACAUUAUUGCAACUCCUACAAGCAUAUGUUCCUCCCUCAUAAUAAUUUUCAGUAGCAUCAUGAAUGGAUUCAACAAUAUAACUAGAACCUAAAGCAUUCUUUUCAUGAUCUACAAGCAUAUAAAAUUUAAUACUCUCCACAUAAGCAAAAUUCUUCCCAUUCGGAAUAGUGGGAGCAAACUCAACCAAAUAACUAUCAUGUGAUUGAAAAUUAAGAUCAAGAUGACAAGCUUCAUGGUUAUCAUUAUUCUUUAAAGCAUACGUGUCAUCACAAUAAUCAUCAUAGAUAGGAGGCAUGCUUUCAUCAUAAUAAAUUUGCUCAUCAAAGCUUGGGGGACAAAAAAUAUCAUCUUCAUCAAACAUAGCUUCCCCAAGCUUGUGGCUUUGCAUAUCAUUAGCAUCAUAGAUAUUCAAGGAAUUCAUACUAACAACAUUGCAAUCAUGCUCAUCAUUCAAAUAUUUAGUGCCAAACAUUUUAUAGAUUUCUUCUUCUAGCACUUGAGCACAAUUUUCCUUUCCAUCAUACUCACGAAAGAUAUUAAAAAGAUGAAGCGUAUGAGACAAACUCAAUUCCAUUUUUUAUAGUUUUCUUUUAUAAACUAAACUAGUGAUAAAACAAGAAACUAAAAGACUCGAUUGCAAGUCUGAAGAUAUAUCUUCAAGUGCUAACCUCCCCGGCAACGGCGCCAGAAAAGAGCUUGAUGUCUACUACACAACCUUCUUCUUGUAGACGUUGUUGGGCCUCCAAGUGCAGAGGUUUGUAGGAAAGUAGCAAAUUUCCCUCAAGUGGAUGACCUAAGGUUUAUCAAUCCGUAGGAGGCGUAGGAUGAAGAUGGUCUCUCUCGAGCAACCCUGCAACCAAACAACAAAGAGUCUCUUGUAUCCCCAACACACCCAAUACAAUGGUAAAUUGUAUAGGUGCACUAGUUUGGCGAAGAGAUGGUGAUACAAGUGGUAUAUGGAUGGUAGAUAAUAGUUUUUGUAAUCUGAAAAUAUAAAAACAGCAAGGUAACUAAUGAUAAAAGUGAGCGUAAAUGGUAUUGCAAUGUGUGGAAACAAGGCCUAGGGUUCAUAUUUUCACUAGUGUAAGUCCCCUCAACAAUACUAACACAAUUGGAUCACAUAACUAUCCCUCAACAUGCAACAAAGAGUCACUCCAAAGUCACUAAUAGCGGAGAACGAACGAAGAGAUUAUGGUAGGGUAUGAAACCACCUCAAAGUUAUUCUUUCCAAUCAAUCCAUUGGGCUAUUCCUAUAAGUGUCACAAACAGCCCUAGAGUUCGUACUAGAAUAACACCUUAAGAUACAAAUCAACCAAAACCCUAAUGUCACCUAGAUACUCCAAUGUCACCUCAAGUAUCCGUGGGCAUGAUUAUACGAUAUGCAUCACACAAUCUCAGAUUCAUCUAUUCAACCAACCCAAAGGACCUCAAAGAGUGCCUCAAAGUUCUACCAGAGAAUCACGUCGAAAAUAUGUGCCAACCCCUAUGCAUAGGUUCCCAUUGUCACGAAACACGCAAGUUGGUCACCAAAACAUACAUCAAGUGGCACGUGAUAUCCCAUUGUCACCACAGAUAUUCACGGCAAGACAUACAUCAAGUGUUCUCAAGUCUUUAAAGACUCAAUCCGAUAAGAUUACUUCAAAGGGGAAACUCAAUUCAUUACAAGAGAGAAGAGGGGGAGGAGAAACAUAAGAUCCAACUAUAAUAGCAAAGCUCGCGAUACAUCAAGAUCGUAUCAUCUCAAGAACACAAGAGAGAGAGAGAGAGAGAUCAAACACAUAGCUACUGGUACAUACCCUCAGCCCCGAGGGAGAACUACUCCCUCCUCGUCAUGGAGAGCGCCGGGAUGAUGAAGAUGGCCACCGGUGAGGGUUCACCCCUCCGGCAGGGUGCCGGAACAGGGUCCCGAUUGACUUUUGGUGGCUACGGAGGCUUAUGGCGGCGGAACUCCCGAUCUAUUGUCCGUUCUGGAAGUUUUAGGUCACGUAGGUAUAUAUGGGUGCAGGACGUACGUCAGGGGAGCCACAAGGGCCCCACGAGACAGGGGGGCGCGCCCUAGGGGGGCGCCCCCCACCCUCAUGAGCACCUCGUUUCUUCCUUGACGUGGGGUCCAAGUCCAUCAGGUGUGUUUCCUUCCAAAAAUAACUUCUCCAGUUGAUUUCGUUCCGUUUCGACUCCGCCUGAUAUUCCUUUUCUUCAAAACAGUGAAAUAGGCAUAAAACAACAAACCUGGGCUGGGCCUCCGGUUAAUAGGUUAGUCCCAAAAAUAAUAUAAAAGUGUAUAAUAAAGCCCAAUAUUGCCUAAGACAGUAGAUAAUAUAGCAUGGAGCAAUCAAAAAUUAUAGAUACGUUGGAGACGUAUCAGCUAUCAGCGCACACACACUCAUAGGCAGACCUUAGCAAUUUGAACAAGCAUUUGACUACAUUAUAGGCAAUUAACAAGCAUAGUUGAUAACCCACAAGUAUAGGGGAUCGCAAUAGUUUUCGAGGGUAAAGUACUCAACCCAAAUUUAUUGAUUUGACACAAGGGGAGCCAAAGAAUAUUCUCAAGUAUUAGCAGCUGAGUUGUCAAUUCAACCACACCUGGAAACUUAGUAUCUGCAGCAAAGUAUUUAGUAAGAAAGUAAUAUGAUAGUAGUGAUAACGGUAGCAAAAGGUAACAGUAGUAAAAGUAAUGUUUUUGGUAUUUUGUAGUGAUGAUAGCAAUAGCAACGGAAAAGUAAAUAAGCGAAGAACAAUAUAUGGAAAGCUCAUAGGCAAUGGAUCGCUGAUGGAGAAUUAUGCCGGAUGUGGUUCAUCAUGUAACAGUCAUAACCUAGGGUGACACAGAACUAGCUCCAGUUCAUCGAUGCAAUGUAGGCAUGUAUUCCGAAUAUAGUCAUACAUGCUUAUGGAAAAGAACUUGCAUGACAUCUUUUGUCCUACCCUCCCGUGGCAGCGGGGUCCUUACGGAAACUAAGGGAUAUUAAGGCCUCCUUUUAAUAGAGUACCGGAAAAAAGCAUUAACACAUAGUUAAUACAUGAACUCCUCAAACUACGGUCAUCAUUGGUAAGUAUCCCGAUUAUUGUCACUUCGGGGUUAACGGAUCAUAACACAUAAUAGGUGACUAUAGACUUGUAAGAUAGGAUCAAGAACACUCGUAUAUUGAUGAAAACAUAAUAGGUUCAGAUCUGAAAUCAUGGCGCUCGGGCCCUAGUGACAAGCAUUAAGCAUAGCAAAGUCAUAGCAAUAUCAAUCUCAGACCAUAGUGGAUACUAGGGAUCAAACCCUAACAAAACUAACUCAAUUACAUGAUAGAUCCCAUCCAACCCAUCACCGUCCACCAAGCCUACGAUGGAAUUACUCACGCACGGCGGAGAGCAUCAUGAAAUUGGUGAUGGAGGAUGGUUGAUGAUGACGAUGGCAAUGAAUUCCCCUCUCCGGAGCCCCGAACAGACUCCAGAUCAGCCCUCCCGAGAGGUUUUAGGGCUUGGCGGCGGCUUCGUAUCGUAAAACGCGAUGAAUUCUUCUCUCUGCCUUUUUUCUCCCCGAAACACAAUAUAUAGAGUUGGAGUUGGAGUCGGAGGGGCACCAGGUGGCCCACGAGGUAGGGGGCGCGCCCCCACCCUCGUGGACAGGUGGUGGGCCCCUUGGCCUUCAUCUUUUGCAGGUAUUUUUUAUAUUUUCCAAAAAGUUGCUCCGUGAAGUUUCGGGUCAUUCCGAGAACGUUUGUUUUUACACAUAAAUAACACCAUGGUAAUUCUGCUGAAAACAACGUCAGUCCGGGUUAGUUCCAUUCAAAUCAUGCAAGUUAGAGUCCAAAACAAUGGCAAAAGUGUUUGGAAAAGUAGAUACGACGGAGAUGUAUCAACUCCCCCAAGCUUAAACCUUUGCUUGUCCUCAAGCAAUUCAGUUGACAAACUGAAAGUAAUAAAGAAAAACUUUUACAAAAUAUGUUUGCUCUUGUUGUUGUAAAUAUGUAAAGCCAGCAUUCAAGUUUUCAGCAAAGAUUAUAACUAACCACAUUCGCAAUAACGCUUAGGUCUCAAGUUUACUCAUAUCAAUAGCAUAAUCAACUAGCGAGCAAUAAUAAUAAAUCUCGGAUGAUAACACUUUCUCAAAACAAUCAUAAUAUGAUAUAACAAGGUGGUAUCUCGCUAGCCCUUUCUGAGGCCGCAAAACAUAAAUGCAGAGCACCUUUAAAGACCAAGGACUGACUAGACAUUGUAAUUCAUGGUAAAAGAGAUCCAGUCAAGUCAUACUCAAUGUAAAUUAACAGUAAUGAAUGCAAAUGACAGUGGUGCUCUCCAACUGGUGCUUUUUAAUAAGAGGAUGAUGACUCAGCAUAAAAGUAAAUAGAUAGGCCCUUCGCAGAGGGAAGCAGGGAUUUGUAGAGGUGCCAGAGCUCGGUUUUGAAAUAGAGAUGAAUAAUAUUUUGAGAGGUGUACUUUUAUUGUCAACAUAACAACCAAGAGAUGGCAAUAUCUUCCAUGCUACACACAUUAUAGGCGGUUCCCAAAUAGAAUGGUAAAGUUUAUACUCCCCCUUCCACCAACAAGCAUCAAUCCAUGGCUUGCUCGAAACAACGAGUGCCUCCAACUAACAAGAGUCCCAGGAGGAGUUUUGUUUGCAAUUAUUUUGAUUUAGUUUGCAUAAAGCAUGGGACUGGGCAUCCCGGUGACCAGCCAUUUAUCUCGUGAGUGAGGAGCGGAGUCCACUCCUCUUGAGAAUAACCCGCCUAACAUGGAAGAUACGGACAACCCUAGUUGAUACAUGAGCUAUUCGAGCAUACAAAACAAGAUAUUUAUUUGAAGGUUUAGAGUUUGGCACAUACAAAUUUACUUGGAACGGCAGGUAGAUACCGUAUAUAGAUAGGUAUGGUGGACUCAUAUGGAAUAACUUUGGGAUUUAUGGGAUUGGAUGCACAAGCAGUAUUCCCGCUUAGUACAGGUGAAGGCUAGCAAAAGACUGGGAAGCGACCAGCUAGAGAGCGACAACAGUCAUGAACAUGCAUUAAAAUUAAUCAACACCGAAUGCAAGCAUGAGUAGGAUAUAAUCCGCCAUGAACAUAAAUAUCGUGAAGGCUAUGUUGAUUUUGUUUCAACUACAUGCAUGAACAUGCGCCAAGUCAAGUAACUUAAAUCAUUCAGAGGAGGAUACCACCCUAUCAUACCACAUCACAACCAUUUUAAUAGCAUGUUGGCACGCAAGGUAAACCAUUAUAACUCAUAGCUAAUCAAGCAUGGCACAAGAAACUAUGAUCUCUAGUUGUCAUUGCAAACAUGUUUAUUCAUAAUAGGCUGAAUCAGGAAUGAUGAACUAAUCAUAUUUACAAAAACAAAAGAGGUCGAGUUCAUACCAGCUUUCUCAUCUCAGUCAGUCCAUCAUAUAUCAUCAUAAUUGCCUUUCACUUGCACGACCGAACGAUGUGAAUAAUAAUAAUAGUGCACGUGCAUUGGACUAAGCUAGAAUCUGCAAGCAUUCCAUAAACAGGAGAAGACAAGGCAAUAUGGGCUCUUUUGUCAGAUCAACAAUAAUGCAUAUAAGAGGCACUUCAACAAUUUAAUUAUGGUCUUCUCCUAUCGAACCCCAAAGAAAAGAAAAGAAAUAAAAUUAUUUACACGGGAGAGCUCCCAACAAGUAAAAGAAGAACAGGAAAUCUUUUUGGGUUUUCUUUUUAAUUACUACUACAAGCAUGGAAAGUAAACUAAUUAAAAGCUACAACCAAUUUUUUUUAUUUUUCUUAAGGUUUAUCAAACACACAAGAAUAAAGCAUAAAAAGGAAUUAAACUAGCAUGGGUGAUACAAUGAAAAAGUAUGAGCACCGACAUCUAGCAAUGAGUGUGUGAACAUAAAUGUAAUGUCGGUGAGAAAUACAUACUCCCCAAGCUUAGGCUUUUGGCCUAAGUUGGUCUAUGGCCACGGCUAGCCUAGCGGAUAUCCAUAAUAGUAGUUGGGGUCGUACUGCGAUGAAGAAGAAGACUCCGAUUGCCACUGACUGGCAAUCAUCUCCUAAUUCCACUGGUAAUUAGACUGUUGUGAAGGAUCAACUUGUGGUUCCGGCUCUGGCUCCAUAGCUGGUGCAGGGUUCUGGUAGGCUUGAAUAGCCUUUAACGGAACAAGAUAUUGGCCUGCAGAUAAAUCAAACAAAGAAGGAGCAGACAGGUAAUAGUCUCAGGAUGAUGUUUACCAAAGAACAAUUUGUAUUUAAGCUCUCCUUCCCUAUUCUUAACAAUAAAAUCAUGUGCCACCAUACUUUUAUAAUCUAAAUAAACACGCGGCAGCACCUUUACUUCCUUCUCAUAAUGCCUAAUAGGCAUGUUAAAAUGUGCAGCUAGGCAUGAGGCAUAGAUGCCUCCAAACAUGGGGCCCUUGGUACGGUUCAGACUUAACCGUUUAGCAAUAAUGCCGCCCAUACUAACAUAGUUAUCACCGUAUAAACCGUGGAGCAAAAUAAUAAUAUCGGGGACACUAAGGUUUUCACAGUUUCCGCGACCAAUUAAACAACGACUAGCAAAUAAUGCAAAAUAGCGUAAAACAUGAAAAUGUAUGCUAGUGAUUCGUGCAUCGGAAACAUUCCUUGUUUCCCCUACAGUGAAGUGUCAAUAAACCCAUCCACAUCCUCACGAUGUGGUUCCUCUGUCUUGCCCUCGAAAGGGACUAAACAAACCCGACAAAAAUCAUAAAGUGACAUCUCCUUAUGCUCAUCAUAUAAAUAAAACUCCACCGUAGGUGGUGAGCUCCUAGAAUGGAAAUGAAAGUUUUGCACAAAGAUAUUUGUGAGUAAGAGAUACUGAUCGCGUUGGUCGUGGAGGAAAGCGGUGAGGCCUGCAUUCUUAGCCAAUUCGUAAAAAUCUUCAUAAAUCCCAGAUGCUCUCAAGAAAUCAUCGGAAGGCCAUUCACACGCCCGAAUCUCCGUGGUGCGAGGCAGAUUAUACUUAGGCUUCGGCGCCUUUUCCUUCGAGCUUCGGCUCGAUGAGCCCCUCAAAAGUCUCUUCAUCAUUUUCUAAAAAAUUCUGAAAUUUUUAGUAACUUCAAAAUAAAAGUAAACCAAACUCAAUAAUAUUGAUAGCAACUACUCCUACAAGUGCCUAGGGCCUAUAUCAUGCAUCAAAACUACUUUUGACCAUAUAGAUUUGACAUGCAAGCUCAAGAACAGGGUCACCUAAGCAGCAAAAAUUUGCAAUGAAUAAAGCACUAGAACAAAAACUAAUUGGACCAAUGGAGGAGUCACAUACCAAGGAACAAUCUCCCCAAGCAGUUUUGUGAGAGGUGCUUUGAGCAAGGAGAUCGAAAAUGGCAGCAACAUGAGCUAGAACUCAUGCUUGAGCUGGAUAUUCGUGUUUGGGGAGGAAGAAGGAGUGUGUGGGUGAAAGGAUAAGUGGAGGAGGGCCACCGUGGGCCCAUGAGGCAGGGGGGCGCGCCCAGGGGGUAGGCCGCGCCCUCCACCCUCGUGGGCAGGUGGUUGACCCCCCCUUGCUGUGUUCUCAGUGCCAAAUAUUCUCAAAUAUUCCAAAAAUCAUAUUUAAAUUUCAGGGCAUUUGGAGAACUUUUAUUUUCGGGGUAUUUUUAUAUUGCACGGAUAAUCAGAUAACAGACAGAAAAAUACUAUUUUUAUUUUAUUUAAUAUAAAUAACAAAAAAUAAAAGGAGGGUACAGCAGGUUGUGCCUUCUAGUUUCAUCCAUCUCAUGAUCAUCAAAAGGAAUCCACUAACAAGGUUGAUCAAGUCUUGUUAACAAACUCAUUCCGAAUAACAUGGAACCGAAGAAAUUUCGAAUAACACUAUGUUACCUACACGGAGAUAUGCACAUCCCCAAUAAUAAGAAUAUCAUAUUUCUUCUUGACAGUAGGAAGAGGAAAUUCAAAACCUCCAAAUAUAAUCGAUGGAAUUUUUCCAAUAGAGUCGAUACUAUGAACUUGAGGUUGUUUCCUCGGAAAGUGUACCGUAUGCUCAUUACUAUUAACAUGAAAAGUGACAUUGCCUUUAGUGCAAUCAAUAACAACCCCUGCAGUAUUCAAAAAGGGUCUUCCAAGAAUAAUAGACAUACUAUCGUCCUCGGGAAUAUUAAGAAUAACAAAGUCCGUUGAAAUAGUAACGUUUGCAACUACAACAGGCACAUCCUCACAAAUACCGACAGGUAUAGCAGUUGAUUUAUCAGCCAUUUGCAAAGAUAUUUCAGUAGGCGUCAACUUAUUCAAAUCAAGUCUACAAUAUAAAGAGAGAGGCAUAACACUAACACCGGCUCCAAGAUCACAUAAAGCAGUUUUAACAUAGUUUCUUUUAAUGGAGCAUGGUAUAGUUGGUACACUGGGAUCUCCAAGUUUCUUUGGUAUUCCACCCUUAAAAGUAUAAUUAGCAAGCAUGGUGGAAAUUUCAGCUUCCGGUAUCUUUCUCUUAUUUGUAACAAUUUCUUUCAUAUACUUAGCAUAAGGAUUCAUUUUGAGCAUAUCAGUUAAUCGCAUACGCAAAAAUAUAGGUCUAAUCAUUUAUGCAAAGCGCUCAAAAUCCUCAUCAUCCUUUUUCUUGGAUGGUUUGGGAGGAAAAGGUAUGGGUUUCUGAACCCAUGGUUCUCUUUCUUUACCGUGUUUCCUAGCAACAAAGUCUUUCUUAUCAUAACGUUGAUUCUUUGAUUGUGGGUUAUCAAGAUCAACAGCAAGUUCAAUUUCUAUAUCAUUAUCAUUACUAGGUUGAGCAUCAUCAUGAACAUUAUCAUUAACAUUAUUACUAGUUUCAGGUUCAUUAACAGAUUGUGUUUCAGCAUCAGAAAUAGAAAUAUCAUUUGGAUUCUCAGGUGUUUCAGUAAUAGGUUCACUAGAAGCAUGCAAAGUCCUAUCAUUUUUCCUUUUCUUCCUUUUAGAAGGACUAGGUGCAUCUAUAUUGUUUCUCUGAGAAUCUUGCUCAAUUCUCUUAGGAUGGCCUUCAGGAUACAAAGGUUCCUGAGUCAUUUUACCACCUCUAGUCAUAACUCUAACAGCAUUAUCAUUAUCCUUACUAUUCAAUUCAUUAAGCAAAUCAUUUUGAGCUUUAAGUACUUGUUCUACUUGAGUGGUAACCAUAGAAGCAUGUUUACUAAUAAGUUUAAGUUCACCUUUGACAUUAGCCAUACAAUCACCCAAGUGUUCAAGCAUAUUUGAAUUGUAUUUCAAUUGUCUACCAAAAUAAGCAUUAAAAUCUUCUUGCUUAGCCAUAAAUUUAUCAAACUCAUCUAAGCAUGGGCUAGCAAAUUUAGUAAAUGGGAUUUCAGCUUUAUCAUAUCUAUAGAGAGAAUUUACCUUUACUACCUGUGUCGGGUUAUCAAGACCAUGAGUUUCUUCAAUAGGUAGAGGAUUAAGAUCAUAUGUUUCUUCAACAUGCGGUAAAUUAAGACCAUGUAUUUCUUCAAUAGGAGGUAAAUUCUUAACAUCUUCAGCUUUAAUACCUUUUUGUUUCAUAGAUUUCUUUGCCUCUUGCAUAUCUUCAGGACUGAGAAAUAGAAUACCCCUCUUCUUCGGAGUUUGUUUAGGAAUAGGCUCGGGAAUUGGCUCCGGAGGUGUCCAAUUAUUUUCAUUUGUCAACAUAUUAUUCAAUAGAAUUUCAGCUUCAUCCGGUGUUCUUUCCCUGAAAACAGAACCAGCACAACUAUCCAGGUAAUCUUUGGAGGCAUCGGUUAGUCCAUUAUAAAAGAUAUCAAGUAUUCAUUUUUCUUAAGAGGAUGAUCAGGCAAAGCAUUAAGUAAUUGGAGAAGCCUCCCCAAGCUUGUGGGAGACUCUCUUCUACAAUUUGCACAAAAUUAUAUAUAUCCCUUAAAGCAGCUUGUUUCUUAUGAGCAGGGAAAUAUUUAGCAAAGAAGUAAUAAAUCAUAUCCUCGAGACUACGCACACAACCAGGAUCAAGAAAAUUAAACCACAUCUUAGCAUCACUCUUUAAUGAGAACGGAAAUAUUUUAAGGAUAUAAAAGUAACGAGUUCUCCCAUCAGUCGUGAACAGGGUGGCUAUUGCUACGUCUUGAGCUUGCGUGGGUUUUCCCCGAAGAGGAAGGGAUGAUGCAGCAGAGUAGCGUAAGUAUUUCCCUCAGUUUUUGAGAAACAAGGUAUCAAUCCAGUAGGAGCCCAUGCUCAAGUCCCUCGUACCUACACAAAGCGAUAGCUACUCGCAACCAACGCGAUUAGGGGUUGUCAAUCCCUUCACGGUCACUUACGAGAGUGAGAUCUGAUAGAUAUAAUAUUUUUUGGUAUUUUUGGUAUAAAGAUGCAAAGUAAAAAGUAAAGGCAAAGUAAAAAAGCAAAGCAAGAUUAAAGUGAUGGAGAUUGAUAUGAUGAGAAUAGACCCGGGGGCCAUAGGUUUCACUAGUGGCUUCUCUCAAGAGCAUAAGUAUUCUACGAUGGGUGAACAAAUUACUGUUGAGCAAUUGACAGAAUUGAGCAUAGUUAUGAGAAUAUCUAGGCAUGAUCAUGUAUAUAGGCAUCACGUCUGUGACAAGUAGAUCGAAACAAUUCUGCAUCUACUACUAUUACUCCACUCAUCGACCGCUAUCCAGCAUGCAUCUAGAGUAUUAAGUUAAAAACAGAGUAACGCCUUAAGCAAGAUGACAUGAUGUAGAGAGAUAAAUUCAUGCAAUAUGAAAUAAACCCCAUCUUGUUAUCCUCGAUGGCAACGAUACAAUACGUGCCUUGCUACCCCUUCUGUCACUGGGUAAGUACACCGCAAGAUCGAACCCAAAGCUAAGCACUUCUCCCAUGCCAAGAACUACCAAUCUAGUUGGCCAAACCAAACGGAUAAUUCGAAGAGACUUGCAAAGAUAACCAAUCAUACAGAAAAGAAUUCAGAGAAGAUUCAAAUAUUAUUCAUAGAUAGACUUGAUCAUAAACCCACAAUUCAUCGGUCUCAACAAACACACCGCAAAAAGAAGAUUACGUCAAAUAGAUCUCCACAAGAGAGGGGGAGAACUUUGUAUUGAGAUUCAAAGAGAGAGAAGAAGCCAUCUAGCUACUAACUAUGGACCCGAAGGUAUGAGGUAAACUACUCACACUUCAUCAGAGAGGCUAGGAUGAUGUAGAAGCCCUCCGUGAUGACGGCCCUCUUCCGGCGGAGCUCCGGAACAAGCCCCAAGAUGGGAUCUCGUGGAUACAGAAAGUUACGGCGGUGGAAUUAGGUUUUUGGCUCCUGUUCUGAUCGUUUGGGGGUACGUGUGUAUAUAUAGGAGGAAGAAGUACGCCGGAGGAGCAAUGAGGGGCCCACGAGGCAGGGGGCGCGCCUUGGGGGGGGCGCCCCCACCCUCGUGACCACCUCUUUUGUUCCUUGGAGCAGGGUCCAAGUCUCCUGGAUCACGUUCGGUGAGAAAAUCACGUUCCCGAAGAUUUUAUUCCGUUUGGACUCCAUUUGAUAUUCCGUUUAUCUGAAACACUGAAAUAGGCAAAAAACAACAAUUCUGGGUUGGGCCUCCGGUUAAUAGGUUAGUACCAAAAAUAAUAUAAAAGUGGAAAAUAAAGCCCAAUAUAGUCCAAAACAGUAGAUAAUAUAGCAUGGAGCAAUCAAAAAUUAUAGAUACGCUGGAGAAGUAUCAGGCAUCCCCAAGCUUAAUUCCUGCUCGACCUCGAGUAGGUAAAUGAUAAAAAGAAAAUUUUUGAUGCGGAGUGCUACUUGGCAUAAUUUCAAUGCAAAUCUUCUUAAUUGUGGUAUGAAUAUUCAGAUUAGAAAGAUUCAAGACAAAAGUUUAUAUUGACAUAAAAAUAAUAAUACUUCAAGCAUACUAACAAAGCAAUUAUGUCUUCUCAAAAUAACAUGGCCAAAGAAAGUUAUCCCUACAAAAUCAUAUAGUCUGGCUAGGCUCCAUCUUCACCACACAAAGUAUUUAAAUCAUGCACAACCCCGAUGACAAGACAAGCAAUUGUUUCAUACUCUAACUUUUUCAAAACUUUUUCAAUCUUCACGCAAUACAUGAGCGUGAGCCAUGGAUAUAGCACUAUAGGUGGAAUAGAAUGGUGGUUGUGGAGAAGACAAAAAGGAGAAGAUGGUCUCACAUCAACUAGGCGUAUCAACGGGCUAUGGAGAUGCCCAUCAAUAGAUAUCAAUGUGAGUGAGUAGGGAUUGCCAUGCAACGGAUGCACUAGAGCUAUAAGUAUAUGAAAGCUCAAAAGGAAACUAAUUGGGUGUGCAUCCAACUUGCUUGCUCAUGAAGACCUAGGGCAAUUUUGAGGAAGCCCAUCAUUGGAAUAUACAAGCCAAGUUCUAUAAUGAAAAUUCCCACUAGUAUAUGAAAGUGAUAACAUGAGAGACUCUCUACUAUGAAGAUCAUGGUGCUACUUUGAAGCAUAAGUGUGGUAAAAGGAUAGUAACAUUGUCCCUUCUCUCUUUUUCUCUCAUUUUUUAUUUAUAUUUUUUUUGUUUGGGCCUUUUCUCUUUUUUUAUGGCCUCUUUUUAUUUGGGCUUCUUUGGCCACUUUUUUUCGUCCGGAGUCUCAUCCCGACUUAUGGGGGAAUCAUAGUCUCCAUCAUUCUUUCGUCACUGGGACAAUGCUCUAAUAAUGAUGAUCAUCACACUUUUAUUUUUCUUAUAACUCAACAAUUACAACUCGAUACUUAGAACAAAAUAUGACUCUAUGUGAAUGCAUCCGACGGUGUACCAGGAUAUGCAAUAUGAUAAUGAUGGAAUGUGUCAUGAUGAACUAGAUGGUGGAAAGUUGCAUGACAAUAUAUCUCGGAAUGGCUAUGCAAAUGCCAUAAUAGGUAGGUAUGGUGGCUGUUUUGAGGAAGGUAUAUGGUAGGUGUAUGAUGCCGGUGAAAGGUCCGCGGUAUUAGAGAGGCUAGCAAAGGUGGAAGGGUGAGAGUGCGUAUAAUCCAUGGACUCAACAUUAGUCAUAAAGAACUCAUAUACUUAUUGCAAAAAUCUAGAAGUUAUCAAAGCAAAGUAUUAUGCGCAUGCUCCUACGGGGAUAGAUUGGUAGGAAAAGACCAUCGCUCGUCCCCGACCACCACUCAUAAGGAAGACAAUCAAUAAACAAAUCAUGCUUCGACUUCGUUACAUAACGGUUCACCAUACGUGCAUGCUAUGGGAAUCACAAACUCUAACACAAGUAUUCUUUAAAUUCACAACUACUCAACUAGCAUGACUUUAAUAUUAUCACCUCCAUAUCUCAAAACAAUUAUCAUGCUUCAAUCUUUUCUUAGUAUUCAACACACUCAAAAGAAAGUUUCACAAAUCUUGAAUACCAAGCAUAUUAUUAUUAAGCAAAUUACCAUGCUAUUAAGAGACUCUCAAAAUAAUUUAAGUGAAGCAUGAGAGAUCAAUAGUUUCUUUAAAACAAAUCCACCACCAUGCUCUAAAAGAUCUAAGUGAAGCACAUAGAGCAAAAUUAUAACACUCAAAAGAUAUAAGUGAAGCACAUAGAGCAAAAUUAUCUAGCUCCAAAGAUAUAAGUGAAGCACAUAGAGCAAAACUACUACGCUCAAAAGAUAUAAGUGAAGCACAUAGAGCAAAACUACUUAGCUCAAAAGAUAUAAGUGAAGCACAUAGAGUAUUCUAUCAAAUUUUUAAUUCAUGUAUGGCUCUCUCAAAAGGUGUGUACAACAAGGAUGAUUGUGGCAUACUAAGACACAAAGACACAAAUAAUACAAGACGCUCCAAGCAAAACACAUAUCAUGUUGGUGAAUAAAAAUAUAGCUCCAAGUAAAUUACCGAUGGAAGUGGACGAAAGAGGGGAUGCCUUCCGGGUCAUCCCCAAGCUUUGACUUUUUGGUGUCCUUGGAUUAUCUUGGGGGUGCCAUGGGCAUCCCCAAGCUUAGGCUCUUGCCACUCCUUGUUCCAUGAUCCAUCAAAAGAAUUCACCCAAAACUUGAAAACUUCACAACACAAAACUCAAAAUAGAAAACUCGUGAGCUCCGUUAGCGAAAGAAAACAAAAGACCACUUCAAGGUACUGUAAUGAACUCAUUAUUUAUUUAUAUUGGUGUUAAACCUACUGUAUUCCAACUUCUCUAUGGAUUAUAAACUAUUUUACUAGCCAUAGAUUCAUCAAAAUAAGCAAACAACACACGAAAAACAGAAUCUGUCAAAAACAGAACAGUCUGUAGUAAUCUGUAGCUAGCGCAAGAUCUGGAACCCCAAAAAUUCUAAAAUAAAUUGCUGGACGUGAGGAAUUUAUCUAUUAAUCAUAUGCAAAAAGAAUUAACUAAAUAGAACUCUUCAAAUAAAAAUGACAGCAGUUCUCAUGAGCGCUAAAGUUUCUGUUUUUACAGCAAGUUCAACAAGACUUUCCCCAAGUCUUCCCAACGGUUCUACUUGGCAUAAACACUAAUUAAACACAAAAAACACAACAAAAACAGAGUCUAAAUAAUUUAUUUAUUAUUAAUCAGGAGCAAAAAACAAGGAAUAAAAAUAAAAUUGGGUUGCCUCCCAACAAGCGCUAUCGUUUAACGCCCCUAGCUAGGCAUAAAAGCGAGGAUAGAUCUAAGUAUUGCCAUCUUUGGUAGGCAAUCCAUAAGUGGCUCUCAUGAUAGUUUCAUAUGGUAAUUUUAUUUUCUUUCUUGGAAAGUGUUACAUGCCUUUUUUUAAUGGAAAUUGAAAUCUAAUAUUCCCUUCCUUCAUAUCAAUAAUCGCACCAACCGUUCUAAGGAAAGGUCUACCAAGAAUAAUAGGGCAAGAAGGAUUGCAAUCUAUAUCAAGAACAAUGAAAUCUACUGGCACAUAAUUCCUAUUUGCAACAAUAAGAACAUCAUUAAUCCUUCCCAUAGGUUUCUUAAUAGUGGAAUCCGCAAGAUGCAAGUUUAAAGAGCAAUCAUCAAAAUUACGGAAAUCUAGUAAAUCACACAAAGUCUUGGGAAUAGUAGAGACACUAGCACCCAAAUCACACAAAGCAUAAAACUCAUGAUCUUUAAUUUUAAUUUUAAUAGUUUGUUCCCACUCAUCAUAGAGUUUUCUAGGGAUAGAAACUUUCAACUCAAGUUUUUCUUCAUAAGAUUGCAUCAAGGCAUCAAGAAUAUGUUUGGUGAAGGCUUUAUUUUGACUAUAAGCAUGUGGAGAAUUUAGCACAGAUUGCAACAAGGAAAUACAAUCAAUUAAAGAGCAACUUUCAUAAUUAAAUUCCUUGAAAUCCAAUAUAGUGGGUUUAGCAACAUCUAGAUUUUUAUUUCUUUCAAUCCCACUUUCAUCAAUUUCAUCAUCAAGAUCUAAAUACUCCGAAUUUUUAGAACACCUUCUAGGUAAAGGAAGAUCAUAUUCAGUUUCAUCGAGAUUAAUAUUGCAAAAUAAAGAUUUAAUAGGGGACACAUCAAUAACUUUUAGAUCUUCAUCUUGAUUUUCAUAGGUAUUGGAGGAACACGCUUUAAUAAAGGCAUCUUUGGAAGCACGCAUCCUAGCGGUUCUUUCCUUGCACUCAUCAAUGGAAAUUCUCAUGGCUUUGAGAGACUCAUUGAUAUCAUGCUUAGGAGGAAUAGAUAUAAGCUUUAAAGAAUCAACCUCAAGAGAAAUUCUAUCAACGUUUCUAGCCAAAUCAUCAACUUUAAGCAAUUUCUCCUCAAGAAAAGCAUUAAAAUUCUUUUGUGAAUUCAUAAACUCUUUAACACUAUUCUCAAAUUCAGAGGGCAUCUUAUUAUAAUUUCCAUAAGAUUUGUUGUAGGAAUUACCAUAAUUAUUAGAAGGAUUACUAGAAUAUGGCCUAGGAUUAAAAUUCCCUUUAUAAGCAUUGUUACCAAAAUUAUUCCUACCAACAAAAUUCACAUCCAUAGAUUCAUUGUUAUUCUCAAUCAAAGUAGACAAAGGCGUAUCAUUAGGAUCAGAAGAAACACUCUUAGUAGCAAAUAAUUUCAUAAGUUCAUCCAUCUUUCCACUCAACACAUUAAUUUCUUCUAUUGCAUGCACUUUUUUAUUAGAAGAUCUUUCAGUAUGCCAUUGAGAAUAAUUAACCAUAAUAUUAUCUAGGAGUUUAGUAGCAUCUCCUAAAGUGAUUUCCAUAAAAGUGCCUCCCGCGGCCGAAUCUAAAAGAUUUCUAGAAGCAAAAUUCAAUCCGGCAUAAAAUUUUUGUAUGAUCAUCCACAAUUUCAAACCAUGAGUAGGGCAAUUACGUAUCAUUAAUUUCAUUCUCUCCCAAGCUUGUGCAACAUGUUCAUGGUCAAGUUGUUUAAAGUUCAUAAUAUCGUUUCUAAGAGAGAUGAUCUUAGCGGGAGGAAAAUACUUAGAGAUAAAGCAUCUUUGCACUUGUUCCAUGAAUCAAUACUAUUCUUAGGCAAAGACGAAAACCAAGCUUUAGCACGAUCUCUAACCGAAAAAGGAAAUAGCUUCAAUUUAACAACAUCAUUAUUGACAUCUUUCUUCUUUUGCAUAUCACAUAAAUCAACAAAGCUAUUCAGAUGAGUAGCGGCAUCUUCACUAGGAAGGCCGGCGAAUUGAUCUUUCAUAACAAGAUUCAACAAAGCAGUAUUAAUUUGACAAGACUCAGCAUCGGUAAGAGGAGCAAUCGGAGUGCUAAGGAAAUAAUUAUUAUUGGUAUUGGUGAAGUCACACAAUUUAGUAGUAUCUUGAGCCAUCGCGACAAGCAAGCAAUCUAACACACGAGCAAACAAAAAGCAACGGGCAAAAAGAGGCAAAUAGAGAGGGAGGAUAGGGAGAGAGAGCGCGAAUAAAACGGCAAGGGUGAAUUGGGGGGAGAGGAAAAUGAGAGGUAAAUGGCAAAUAAUGUAAUGUGAGAGAUAGGGAUUGUGAUGGGUACUUGGUAUGUUGACUUUUUGCGUAGACUCCCCGGCAACGGCGCCAGAAAUCCUUCUUGCUACGUCUUGAGCUUGCGUUGGUUUUCCUCGAAGAGGAAGGGAUGAUGCAGCAGAGUAGAGUAAGUAUUUCCCUCAGUUUUUGAGAACCAAGGUAUCAAUCUAGUAGGAUCCCACGCUCAAGUCCCUCGUACCUGCACAAAGCGAUAGCUACUCGCAACCAACGCGAUUAGGGGUUGUCAAUCCCUUCACGGUCACUUACGAGAGUGAGAUCUGAUAGAUAUAAUAUUUUUUGGUAUUUUUGGUAUAAAGAUGCAAAGUAAAAAGUAAAGGCAAAGUAAAAAAGCAAAGCAAGAUUAAAGUGAUGGAGAUUGAUAUGAUGAGAAUAGACCCGGGGGCCAUAGGUUUCACUAGUGGCUUCUCUCAAGAGCAUAAGUAUUCUACGGUGGGUGAACAAACUACUGUUGAGCAAUUGAUAGAAUUGAGCAUAGUUAUUAGAAUAUCUAGGCAUGAUCAUGUAUAUAGGCAUCACGUCCGUGACAAGUAGAUCGAAAUGAUUCUGCAUCUACUACUAUUACUCCACUCAUCGACUGCUAUCCAGCAUGCAUCUAGAGUAUUAAGUUAAAAACAGAGUAACGCCUUAAGCAAGAUGACAUGAUGUAGAGAGAUAAAUUCAUGCAAUAUGAAAUAAACCCCAUCUUGUUAUCCUCGAUAGCAACGAUACAAUACGUGCCUUGCUGCCCCUUCUGUCACUGGGUAAGGACACCGCGAGAUCGAACCCAAAGCUAAGCACUUCUCCCAUGGCAAGAACUACCAAUCUAGUUGGCCAAACCAAACGGAUAAUUUGAAGAGACUUGCAAAGAUAACCAAUCAUACAUAAAAGAAUUCAGAGAAGAUUCAAAUAUUAUUCAUAGAUAGACUUGAUCAUAAACCCACAAUUCAUCGGUCUCAACAAACACACCGCAAAAAGAAGAUUACAUCGAAUAGAUCUCCACAAGAGAGGGGGAGAACUUUGUAUUGAUAUUCAAAGAGAGAGAAGAAGCCAUCUAGCUACUAACUAUGGACCCGAAGGUCUGAGGUAAACUACUCACACUUCAUCGGAGAGGCUAGGAUGAUGUAGAAGCCCUCCGUGAUGACGGCCCUCUUCUGGCGGAGCUCCGGAACAGGCCCCAAGAUGGGAUCUCGUGGAUACAGAAAGUUGUGGCGGUGGAAUUAGGUUUUUGGCUCCUAUUCUGAUCGUUUGGGGGUAUGUGUGUAUAUAUAGGAGGAAGAAGUACGCCGGAGGAGCAACGAGGGGCCCACGAGGCAGGGGGCGCGCCCUAGGAGGGGGCCACCCUCGUGACCGCCUCUUUUGUUCCUUGGAGCAGGGUCCAAGUCUCCUGGAUCACGUUCGGUGAGAAAAUCACGUUCCCGAAGAUUUUAUUCCGUUUGGACUCCGUUUGAUAUUCCGUUUAUCUGAAACACUGAAAUAGGCAAAAAAACAACAAUUCUGGCCUGGGCCUCCGGUUAAUAGGUUAGUCCCAAAAAUAAUAUAAAAGUGGAAAAUAAAGCCCAAUAUAGUCCAAAACAGUAGAUAAUAUAGCAUGGAGCAAUCAAAAAUUAUAGAUACGUUGGAGACGUAUCAGCUAUAUCAUUCAAUUUAGUAAGAUGUGCCACAACAGUUUCAGAUUCAUAGCCAUGAAAAGGAUCAGAUUCAACCAAAGUAAUUAUAUCAGGAUCAACAGAGAAUUCAUAAUCCUUAUCGGUAACACAGAUAGGUGAAGUAGCAAAAGCAGGGUCAGGUUUCAUUCUAGCAUUUAGAGAUUGCUUGUUCCAUUUAGCUAAUAACCUCUUAAGUUCGUAUCUAUCUUUGCAAGCUAAAAUAGCUAAAGAAUCUUCUUGAUCAAAAAUAUAACCCUCAGGAAUAACAAGUGAUUCUUCAUCAUCACUUUCAUCAGUAUUAUCAGAUUCAAUAUUUUCAAUCUCUCUAGCCCUAGCAAGUUGUUCAUCAAGAAAUUCACCAAGUGGCACAGUAGUAUCAAGCAUAGAAGUAGUUUCAUCAUAAGUAUCAUGUAUAGCAGAAGUAGCAUCAUCAAUAACAUGCGACAUAUCAGAACGAAUAGCAGAAGCAGUUUUAGGUGUCGCAAGCUUACUCAAAACAGAAGGUGAAUCAAGUGUAGAGCUAGAUGGCAGUUCCUUGCCUCCCCUCGUAGUUGAGGGAUAAAUCUUGGUUUUUGGAUCUCUCAUGUUCUUCAUAAUGAUAAGCAGAUAUAAAUCCCAAGUGACUCAAAGAAUAGAGCUAUGCUCCCCGGCAACGGCGCCAGAAAAUAGUCUUGAUAACCCACAAGUAUAGGGGAUCGCUACAGUUUUCGAGGGUAAAGUAUUCAACCCAAAUUUAUUGAUUCGACACAAGGGGAACCAAAGAAUAUUCUCAAGUAUUAGCAGCUGAGUUAUCAAUUCAACCACACCUGGAAACUUAGUAUCUACAGCAAAGUAUUUAGUAGCAAAGUAAUAUGAUAGUAGUGAUAACGGUAGCAAAAGGUAACAGUAGUAAAAGUAAUGUUUUUGGUAUUUUGUAGUGAUGAUAGCAAUAUCAAUGGAAAAGUAAAUAAGCGAAGAACAAUAUAUGGAAAGCUCGUAGGCAAUGGACCGGUGAUGGAGAAUUAUGCCGGAUGUGAUUCAUCAUGUAACGGUCAUAACCUAGGGUGACACAGAACUAGCUCCAGUUCAUCAAUGCAAUGUAGGCAUGUAUUCCGAAUAUAGUCAUACAUGCUUAUGGAAAAGAAAUUGCAUGGCAUGUUUUUUCCAACCCUCCCGUGGCAGCGGGGUCCUUACGAAACUAAGGGAUAUUAAGGCCUCCUUUUAAUAGAGUACCGAAACAAAGCAUUAACACAUAGUGAAUACAUGAACUCCUCAAACUACGGUCAUCACCGGUAAGUAUCCCGAUUAUUGUCACUUCGGGGUUAACGGAUCAUAACACAUAAUAGGUGACUAUAGACUUGCAAGAUAGGAUCAAGAACAUUCAUAUAUUGAUGAAAACAUAAUAGGUUCAGAUCUGAAAUCAUGGCACUCAGGCCCUAGUGAAAAGCAUUAAGCAUAGCAAAGUCAUAGCAACAUCAAUCUCAGACCAUAGUGGAUACUAGGGAUCAAACCCUAACAAAACUAACUCGAUUACAUGAUAGAUCCCAUCCAACCCAUCACCGUCCACCAAGCCUACGAUGGAAUUACUCACGCACGGCGGAGAGCAUCAUGAAAUUGGUGAUGGAGGAUGGUUGAUGAUGACGAUGGCGACGAAUUCCCCUCUCUGGAGCCACGAACGCACUCCAGAUCAGCCCUCCCGAGAGGUUUUAGGGCUUGGUGGCGGCUCCGUAUCGUAAAACGCGAUGAAUUCUUCUCUCUGGCUUUUUUUCUCCCCGAAACACAAUAUAUAGAGUUGGAGUUGGAGUCGGAGGGGCACCAGGGGACCCACGAGGUAGGGGGCGCGCCCCCCACCCUCGUGGACAGGUGGUGGGCCCCCUGGCCUUCAUCUUUUGUAGGUAUUUUUUAUAUUUCCCAAAAAGUUGCUCCGUGAAGUUUCGGGUCAUUCCGAGAACGUUUGUUUCUGCACAUAAAUAACACCAUGGUAAUUCUGCUGAAAACAACGUCAGUCCGGGUUAGUUCCAUUCAAAUCAUGCAAGUUAGAGUCCAAAACAAGGGCAAAAGUUUUUGGAAAAGUAGAUACGAUGGAGACAUAUCAAUAGUCAUAAUAACAGCUAAGGCAAGUGCUUCGUCGUGCGGUUGGCACCUUGAAGGUGUGCAGGAUCAUCACCUUUAAAGUGAUGAGGUAGCCGAUCGGGAUCUGGUGAGCAACAGCAAAGCCGACCCAACCCUGAUCCAUGGCUAGCCUCCCGUUGAUCUCUGUGAGCUUGACCUUCUAGGUGCAACCGGUGUUCGUCUUGAGUUUGAUCUUACGUGAGAUGGUGUCCAUGUGUUUACAAAAGUUGCCAAGGAUUGGCAGUAACAUUCAAACCGACAUGGAAAACAUGUUCAUCUACCACGACAGGAAGGCCAUCAUCAUUGCCGACAAGCCCCUAUAGAAAGAUCAAGAGUUUUCACGCCGACAAGACCAAUUCGAGCCCUAUAUCAACACACAAAUCUAAUCGGAGUUGGACACCCCAAUCGAACCCCAUAUCCACACCCUAAUCUAACCCCCAUGGAGACACCCAAAUCUAACCGUACUUGGACACCCAAAUCGAAUCUCAUAUCCAGACCCUAAUCAAGUUGUAUGAAACACUUAAUCAACACCCUAAUGGGGUCGUGUGAACCCUAAAUCUAACCCUAAACCCAAAUCAGUGGGUACAUGGAUCCCUAAAUCAGGCAGACAAGGGCUUAGCGCCAUUAACGAAGGGAUGAUGGAGGGUGAUGAAGCUGGCGGUCACCGUCGGUGCUCGCCAUCUAGAUCUUCGACCCGCUGAUACCCUCCGCCGCCCCAGUGAGAGAGAGGGUGAUAGUGGAGAGAGGGAUAGUGAUCGGUGAGAUAGAGAUCAGGGGAUUUAUGGCACGACUUCGGGAAACAACAUGACGUCUCCCACUCGUGCCCGCGUGUGUAACCGCCUGCAGCCACAUGCCGUCCUUUCCCUCAAUCGGGCCUGACUCGUUGGACACAAUCUAUUCGAUCACUUCCUCUAGAGCUGGGCUUGGGCUGCUAUGAGUACCGUGCUAUGCAGGCUCGGCCACACGCGCUGGUAACCAAACGGGUUGCAUCCCCAGGGCUUGGUUGGGUGUUAUGCUGGCAACCAAACACACCCUUGAGCACCGGCGACCUCAUCAAUAAGUUUUUUUAGGGGAACCUCUUCAAUAAGUGAACCUUUCUACCAAGAUGCAGUAUUCAGAAACUGCAUCAACAACAAAAUUUCAGCGUUGGCAGAGCCAUGUCUUUUUUCUUUCUUUCUAGAUGGCAGAACCAGAUCUUAGAGGGGGCGGCUUGUUACCAGCUGGUUACCAAUGAAAGCACAACUUGCCACUUAGACUCCAUUGGUUAAACCAGACAGUAGAUCACAGAAAAACACCAGAUUAUAAAUAAACAAUGUUGUUAACACUUUAUAUUGUGCCUUUUAUACAGAGUGCUCAUACCAUUUGAUCAUCGGACUGGAUGGCAUGAACCUCCAGCUGUUAAAAAAUAAAAAAUUAGAGCACGCCAAGAGCAUGCCACAGCUUUAUAGAAGGCAGAAAUAUCGUUUCAACCAACACUCUGUAACCUCCAGCUGGUAAUUACAGUACAAAAUUGUUUCAACCAAGUGAGAUAGGAUAAAAGCCACGAUGAGCUGAGGUGGUAUCAAAACAGGAUCAGCAGCAGCAAGGAUUGGUAAAAAUCUUCCCCAGAAUCUCUCUGAAAAAGGUACCGAUCCCGCAUUCUCAGUUUCUCACAGCUAGGGUCGCUAAAGAACAAAUAUGCAGACAAUGCCUCUCAUGAAGGAUGCCGCUUCAGCACUUGGAUUCCUGACCGCUGUUAUCAUUGGUCGUCCAGCGUGACAGCGCCUCCCUCGACCUCCAGCUCGCUUGGCUCGACCGACGACAGCAAAAUGUCGUCAAAGCCUCACCUGACGAAUAUGGAACAAGUUUAUGCAUCCGUACAGGUGGCUCCAAAAAAAUCACUGGUGCAACAACAUGAGUUGAUCGAUCGACAAGGAACUCCUCUCUUUUUCUGCAGACAGACAAUCAGAACGAGUGACUGAACAAGGACAGUAUUAUUGUACAUGUUCUGUGGGCAGGCCAUUACACACUUUUAAGUAUCUCACUGUUAACUGUUAAGUAAUCUCACUGCUAUACAUAACAUAACAAUAUGUCGUAUAUUUAAAACUCAAGCGCUAGCAGUGGCGUCAUGUGCAUGCAUAGACUGCUAGCACCCUAAUGCAAAUUGGAGAUUUAAAUCGAGAACUUCAAAACUUCAACUGGAACCUAUAACUAGGGAAGGCGUGUAAAGGCUCAAAGAAACAAGCCAUAGCGAAACAAAGCGAUGUGCAUAGAAAAUAUUGGCCAAUAUCAACAGAGAACUCACGUUUCCAGGUAGCUCCACAUUUUCACUAUGGUAAAAAGUGCAAUCCAAUGGAUACAGCUUCAAGAUUCAACUCACUAACAUCUAGGCAAUUCCUAAUGAACAGAUAUGCUCCCAUUUCUAGCAUUUCUUCCAACAUUUGGUUGCACAAAAAUAAUAUAGCCGUGAGAAGCUCCUACCAAGGAACACAAAACAGAAAAAUAUUCUCCCAGAUGAUAUAUUUAACAUGCAUAACUGUUUGAGAGAAUCAGAUAUAAGACCUAGUCAUCCCAAAUGUAACUUUUUAAUACUCCCUCUGAUCCAUAUUAAUCGUCGCUGAUUUAGUACAACUUUUGGAGUGCCCCUUUGCCAGGCAGACUUGGCGUGAGAUCCUCUCCUGGCUAAGGAUGACCGCCGCAGGCCCAAAUCACGAAGAAUCCCUCAUGGACUGGUGACUGCACGCCAGGCAGAACACACCGACAAUGAUGCGCAAAGAAUGAUAACAGAAUUUUAAGAAAAAAAUUGAAGUGAUUAGCUAAAGUCUCACCAAAUAUUUUGUUACAUGGAAGGAACUCCCAAGUUCAGUUUCACUUGUGAUAUAUGUACCGGUGAAAUUUUACCAUCCCGAGAGACAAAAGGCAGGCUCGGUUCAGAGUACAGUUAGCAAGGUUAAGCUGUAUCGCAUGGCAUUCACUCUCAUAUCUUCAUAGAGUAGUAGUCUAUAUAUAAACUUAAUGGACAGAGGUUGAAAGCUUGAAACACUUUCUCAUAUCAUAUCUCCCAGAAGGUCAAAAAAGCAUCCAACAUGAAGCAAAAUUACCAAUUAGCCAUGAUAUGUUCAUAUAUGAAAAUUAUUUUCGUCCAGCAUGUAGUACAUAAACUAAGUAUUCUCUGAAUAUCAAUAAAAUAUAUUAGAAAUGACCAAUGAUGGCGACAAGAUAAGUAGAUGUACAAAGAAAGGUAAUUUUGGAGCACUCACUGAAGUAUUCGUAUUUGAAGAAUUUUAAACCCACACCCUUUAAGGCCAUGUUCUUUAAAGCAAUACAUCGGAAAAUAAAAGAACAUUAAAUCUGCAGUAAUUUAAAGAAGAAUAUCUAACACCAUACCUAACAGAUGUUGCACAAAGCAGAACAUCUACAUUUAUGUUUAACAGACUAUUCUAAAAUACAAACAGGACUGAGCAGAAACUAGCCACUCCGAAAUGAAAAUAACCAAGGAGCAUGCCAGAACGCAUGACCUUCCUGACCGAAGAGGAAUAAAAAGAACAUAUGGAACAACUGCACCAUGACAUUUAGCAGCUAGAAAUAACAUAGGGAACAAGAGGUCGGGAGGCUAGCAGAACAUUGUGAACUAGUAUUCCUGAAACGGGAACUAGUAUUCCUGAAAUCGGAACUAGAGGUCAGGAGGUCAGCUAGAUCGUAGUUAAAUGGGAACUAGUAUUCCUGAAAAUGGCAUCCGCAACACAUAGUGGAUUUAGGUCGAUUUUACAGUUAUUUGCAGUACAUUGCUUGGUAUGCACAUUUACAUAAAAAAAAAACCCUUCUCAAUCAGCCACGCUGGUGGCAAAAAAACAAGCAGAACAAAUCAAGCACAAAUAAGUUGAAUUUAUUGAGCAUUUUUUUGUACCAAACAUGGUUGCAUAGUAUACUUGUGCGCUUAUGUUCCGUCCUGUGCCACUUCAGAACAUCUCAAGGACUAAAUGCAGGAUGCCUGGUAAUUAAAUAUAUGCUCCUAACACCACCGGGUAUAUGUAAAUCAAGACAUAUCUAGGAUAUCAGACUGGUGAAGGAACAAAUUAAACUUAUUCUUGUAUGCAACCUGAGACACGCAGCUUGCGAAAACCCCUUGAUUUCGCUAGAGCUAGCGAUUCUAGACAGCGGGCCUCUCUUUGUAUUGGUGUUAUGUCAGCAAAGGCGUUGAAUGCCUCUCGGCACUCCUAUGCAAUGUGAUGCGUCUCCUCACAACGUAUUCUAGAAAAGAAAGUGAAUAUUUCUUACACUUUCAGUUUGCCAUGUUCAUCUACUUUCUACCCAAAGGCAUCUUGAACGAUUAAGUUUCCACUCUGUCAAAUUAGCAUUGGGCAACAAUGUAACUGUUGAUGUAGGUCUAGCUUUUGCACCGACGAGAAGAAAAGAGGAUCAGCAUAGGAAUGAGAAUCAAUGAGAUCUGUCUUGCUUGGGAUGCUGACAUGUACAGCAGCCGAGCUGAUCUGGUGCAGGUCUGCAGGAGCAGUUUCCAAUUUUUUAAAUAAGUUGAGAUUCUUGUUGCCUCCUGGUAUAAUAUAUGUGCCCAUCUCACAUAAUUUUCAGGUCAUGAGUUCUUACUAAGCUGUGGCGUCGAUACUACCACCCAUAUGCAACAUUGCGUGCGUGGUCACACGUACCACCUGUGAAUCUAGUAAUCGACAACGUCAGAUCAACUGGAUCCUAAGUCUGCCUAGAGAUAUGAGAAGCAGGGAGCUUCACAUGGAGAGAUGCGACUUUUGAUCGGCCGGGCUUCCUGGGUUCCAGUGCUGCCCAUGAAAGCUCACAGCUUGGUAGCUCUCCCGUCCAUUUGAUGUGUGCGCCGCACUGCUGCUACAGAUCUGACACUGCUAGCCAACUGGAGUAUCUCUGAAGUCAACUAGAUCGUGUGCAGCGGUGCUGUGCUAUGCUGCUAAUCAGCUCAACUAGGGCACCUGACAAUUUUUGCCUGCUCCAUUUGGAAUCUGCCCACGCCUCCCAAGCUCUGCUUCUCAUGGCCAACCCAUUACCACCAGUGAGGCAUUAAUUAGUUCCAUGCAUGGCCCUGCAAUCUAGGCUAAGAUGCUGUGCACGGAGAACCAUGGAGCCUAUACAAUGUCAACGAAAUAAAAUUAUCAGAGAAACCCAGUGAGUUAUACUGCUUGAUGAUUCUUUCUCCCUCUUUUAUCUGACAUGAAACAAAUGCGGGCUGGUUGCGAGGAGCUGACCUAAGAAUUAACAAAUGCAGGCCGGUGCAGUGCGUGACAGUGUCAGAAGCUUCUACAAAGUCAGAUCUAGCGAAACAUAGCCAUUACCGAGGUUAACACCACUAUAAAUGGCUGGCAUUGCUGCCCAUUCUGGACAAACCCAUAAGCCAAACAAAAACAGCUCUCUGGUAGGUGUUUACGCUUAGCGUUUUCAUCCUACAAUGAGAUCACUGCCCAUUGUAGUACUUUCCCUCCUGAUUCUUGUCCUAGCUGCCCAUGUAUCCCAAGCCGAUGACAAGGGCUCUUCGGUUGGAAAUGGGAAGGAUUCCCAUGCCGGUGAUGAUCAUAAAUCAAAUGGUGUAGGGCCGGUGAAAAAACCCAAAUGCCCUAAGCCCGGACAUGGUCCAAAAAACCAUGACAAUGAUGGUCGAGGACCACCAGAAAAGGAGUGCGAUGAUGAAGAGGCAACACCGUCAUCGCCUGGGCCUUCCCCAAACCAAGGUAAUGGUUCGCCAUCACCACCGCCAUCCCCGUCCUAUUCACCACCCAUGACUCCAUCACCUCCACCUCCAUCAGAAACUAGUCCUCCUACUGCACCUCCACCCUACCAACCUAGCAAUCAAUCUCCUCCCCCGCCGUCAUCUUCAAGCCCCCCACCAACACCUUCAUCUAGUCCCCCUGUUACACCUCCAACCUACGAACCUAAUGAUCAAUCACCACCACCACCAUUGAACCCUCCGCCCAUUCCCCCACCACCUCCAUCUAGUGCGCCUGCGGCACCUCCAAUGAACCCGACUAAUGAUCAGCCUNNNNNNNNNNNNNNNNNNNNNNNNNNNNNNNNNNNNNNNNNNNNNNNNNNNNNNNNNNNNNNNNNNNNNNNNNNNNNNNNNNNNNNNNNNNNNNNNNNNNNNNNNNNNNNNNNNNNNNNNNNNNNNNNNNNNNNNNNNNNNNNNNNNNNNNNNNNNNNNNNNNNNNNNNNNNNNNNNNNNNNNNNNNNNNNNNNNNNNNNNNNNNNNNNNNNNNNNNNNNNNNNNNNNNNNNNNNNNNNNNNNNNNNNNNNNNNNNNNNNNNNNNNNNNNNNNNNNNNNNNNNNNNNNNNNNNNNNNNNNNNNNNNNNNNNNNNNNNNNNNNNNNNNNNNNNNNNNNNNNNNNNNNNNNNNNNNNNNNNNNNNNNNNNNNNNNNNNNNNNNNNNNNNNNNNNNNNNNNNNNNNNNNNNNNNNNNNNNNNNNNNNNNNNNNNNNNNNNNNNNNNNAGCCCCCCACCACUAGCUCCAGCCACCCCACCAACACCUCCAUCUAAUCCCCCUGUUACGCCUCCAUCCUACGAACCUAAUGAUGAAUCGCCACCACCUACAUUAAAUUCCCCUGCCAUUCCCUCACCACCUCCAUCAAGCCCAACUGUGGCACCUCCUAUGAACCCGACUAAUGAUCAGCCUCCUCCACCAUCGUCGUCAUUUAGCCCCCCACCAAUAGCUCCAACUACUCAACCACCUCCCUCUAGCCCACCUGCUACACCUCCAACAGACUCAACUGAUGAGGAACCUCCUACAUCACCACCAGCAUCCAGUCCACCAGCAACUCUAUCAAGUCCUCCACCACCGUCAUCGAGUACACCACCGGCUCCAUCCAUCACCACACCACCUUUGGCUAGUCCCCCUGCUACACCUCCAACGUACCAAGCCAAUGACCAGUCCCCUCCACCUCCACCAUCAUAUAGUCCUCCGCCAUCAGCUUUAGCUAGUCCUCCACCACCAUCACCACUGAGUCCACCAGCAAUAGCACCAACCACUAGCGCACCUCCUCCAUCUACUCCCCCAUCGCCUAUGUCUAGUCCACCAGCAACACCUCCAACAGACUCAACUGAUGAGCAAACUCCACCACCACCAN